ACUAGUCCUAUAACGAGAAAAGGACAUAAAGCUGAAAGUCCACUAAUAAAAGCAUAAAGUAAUACAAAGGAAAUCCCAAAUACAAGUGCUAAAAGUAGAUACAUAGGUGGUCUCUAUACAUGGAUACAAAACCUCUCACGCUCUCAAUUACAAAAAGAAAGAGCGAACCACCUAGGCAAAGAACCGCUCCUCGCUAGCUAGCUAUGCGAUCCCCUUGCCGCGAUCCCGUGCCUCCGCCGGUGCAGAAGGCUCUGAAAAGGAAACAUAGAAACAGGGGCGUGAGAACUAUUAAAUAAUAGUUCCCAGUGGGCAAUUACUGACUUCAGUGAAAUGCACCACUAGGCCCGAAACUAUAAAAGAGGGUCAGUGUACAGCUAUAACAAAAGCGAUAAAUGCACUGUAAGUAAAUAAAUAAACGAGCACCCAAUAAUCAUGAUGUCUCUACUUAGCAUGAUUUGCAUAAGUAAGAAAGCAACUACUAGCUAUAUGCACAUGAACACCCAACAUGUAAAGCAUGAUUAUGCAACUACCCGAAGUCCACAAUGUAAUAGUAAAGAUGUCAUUGUUUACUAUUCUAGUCCAAGUCCCCAUUAACAGUUAUACAGUUCACGUAGCAUGUUCUGUCACCAAGUCCCAAUCAUACAAGACCCACCUGAAGGCUGUCUGGCCUGCGCCGUGCCUAACGGCCCCGUGGUAGUCAACAUCCCCACUCUAGGGAUGAGCCUCUCCCACGGCAAUCCACUUCGGCGCCCAAUCCCGCACGGGCGAGCAUAUGUCGCGAUGGCUAUCUCCGGAGCGCCGGCUUGUAGGGAGCAACCCUCACAAGCAUGUGCGAAUGAGCACAAUGGCAAGCAAGCAAUGAUCUGUCUCAAGUACCAAGUCCUCAUGUCUAACAACAUGGAAUAUAUCAAGUAUCUCAAUGGCCUAUCUCUAUGUCAUCAUGUCUCUAACAUAGAAUAUAGCAGAUGUGUAGUGGCCUAUCAAUAUGUCUCUAUAUUGCAGUUUAAUAGUUUACUAGUUUCAAGUGCCCCUUGAUGACACUCUUGUUCUCUAUGUCAAAGCAUGGCAACUAUGUUCCAAAGUACAUAUUCCAAGUCAUAAUCCUCAUAAGAGAUGUAUUUUCCACUUGCAAAAUAAACACUUUUCCCGUAUGCAUGCAUUCUACUCAUAUAGCUCUACUAUAUAGUGAAAUUUUUCAUAAUACACAAGGCAUGCAUUUUAAGUGCUCUAAAAUUCAUAUAAAUUCCAUUUAGCAUAGAAAUGAAUUUAAAAAUAUUUUACAACAAGUAGAAAGAGCAUAGGGGCCAUUUCGCCCCAUUUCCACGAAGCCAAACCCACCGAUGACAACGAAACUCCUCGUUCGCUCCAACGAGGGUGUCCUCUAGUCUCCUAAUACCCUAAGGAUGUGAAACGAAGAGUUACAACCAUCGGGUAAACAACUCCUAGGUUAAACAUUAACCAAUACAAGAAAAGGGGCAAAACUCACCUUGUGAGGUGAAAUCUUCUCUCAAUCUCCAAAUGAGAGUGAAAACCCUUCAAAUCCAACCUAAACCAAAGUUCUAAUUCCAUCAAUUUAGAUCAAGGAGCCCCAAAGCCAAAACCCCCAAAAACAAACCCUAAGUCCACAUUCUAAGGGUUUCAACUCAAGAAAUCCAAUAAUUUAAGGAUCAAAAGGAAAAACUAAGCUUCUAACCUCUUUGGAAGCUUCCAACAAGUGUCCAAGUCCUCAAGAUCUGAAAAUUUCCCCUCAAACGAGCUCCAAAACCAAGCCUCAAGCUCCUUCCAUGGAGGGAGAGCACCAAGAAGCAAAAAGGGGGAGAAAGAGAAGCUUUAAUCACCAAAAAAACCAACCAAGAUCAAAGAAAUAGAGAGGGAGGGUAUGGAGAACUCCCCUACCUCUUCUCCUGCUGCUGGGACACUCAAGGAAGCCCUAAGGGGCGUGGGGUUACUAAUAUAGGCCACAAACGCAAAAAGCCCCAUGCAGUUCAAACUGCACGCAAUCUGCCGCCUUGUACCGGUACACGGGUCCUUGUACCGGUACAAGGCCCACGAAAAUGCAAACCCGAGGCUCGGGUUGCGGGGUCUGCGGCUCUGUACCGGUACAAGCCCGAUGGCUGUACCGGUACAACCAUCAACCUUGUACAGGUACAAGACCAGUCUUGUUCUGGUACAAGCUCUGCUGCAGGCUACCCGAGAGCUGACCAAGGUCCAAUCUUUUUGGGCUUUUGGCACCAGCUUAAAACCAUAAUUCUCAGGAUGCGAGCCAUAGGUCGGGACACUGUCUACGACCUUCUAGAAAGUCUGAAAAAGCUCGACACACAGAUCAAACACUCGAACCUCGCAAUUUGCAAAGGUCCAGUGUGUUACAUAUUUACUUAGGGUUGGGAUCGAUUCAUGGAAAAACCCUAAAUGACAAAAUUAGGGCUUGAAAAUUGGGGCUUUUGCCUUAGAAUUUUUCGGGGACAAAUUGAUCCCGUAGAAACCUAAUUGGGGGUGCCCUAUACACGUUAGACAACUCCGUUUAACGCUGCGAAAAUGUUAGAGUAUAACUCAUGUACAAAGAGGCCUAAUAUGGCACUAUUUUAAUUAUAGGGCGUGGAAUCGGCUUUUGUAAAGUGCGGGAGCCUUCGUAUUCUACACCCACACGACCAAUAGAGGUGGGGGGUGCACAUCGGAAUCGUUGGAUUCCCUUCUAUGUCUGUUUUCUCUAUUCUUGAGCAUAUACAUAUAUACCCAUUCAUGCAUAGUAGGGUAGAUACAUGUGGAACUUGAUUUGACUUCAUUUAUAUGUUUCUAACGUAGUUGAACAUAGAGGAUGAUGGAACCAAAAUGGACAUGUGUGAUUGGACCCUCAAGUUGUGUGAAUGUGAGAUUGUACUUGGACAAUAGAAAACAAGGGUGACAUUGACGUAGAAACAAGAUUGGCACUGAGAGAUGAACCGUUAAGCAUAGUUUAACCAAUUAUGGCAUCAUCAUAGGUAUAGCCUAGAAAGUGGCAAGAAUGAAUAGGUAGAGACCUAUCUUGACAUCGGCAUUGUGACUAGUGGCUAUGAAUUCUCAAGUUGAGGAUUGGAUCGAUACUCACAUUUCGUCUUGGCUUGAGGGGGGUCGCUCUCCCUCGAGCGGUGCGCUCCGAAGUUGGUCACCACUGGGCGUGGUAAAGUCCCCCCAGAUGGCGGUCCCUAGGGUGGUUCGAGUCGCCCGCUAUUAAGGGAUUUUGGGUGAUGAGUUAUUGGGGUUAACAAGGUUAACCGGUAAGAUUGGGUAAGAGCCAAAGCUUAUUUGUGAUUUGAGCAUGCAUGCAUUUUCUAUUAUCGCAUUGAGUAUUUGAAUCCGCUGACAUUCUUCUGCAGGCAUAGUAUUAGAUGCAUUAGUACCGGUUACUUUUCUUUCCUUGAAAUACUUAUGCCUGGAUAGAUCUAGUGGGUAAGUCGGCGAGGUCGGAUGCCGAACCCACUGGGAACUUCGUUGUAGUUUUCACACCACUAACCCUACAGGUCCUGGCACGAGCGGGGCGGCGGAGGACCGAGGCAAGGGUUUGGCGCCGUAGGUAGCGGCCACCGGGACUAUACAUUUUGUAGUCAUUCCUUUUUGAUAUACAUGUAUCAACUUUAUUUUGUUGAUUUAGAGAUGCAAAGUGUAAACAAUCAUAUAUUUGGUGGAUGCCUAAAUGUAAAAAGAUAUGAUGGAAAAAAUGUAAUAGUUUUACUUGAAUUUGGUUUAAAUGUAAUCAAAUAUCAUGUAUGUUGCUCAAUUAGCUUAGAGCUUUCGCUUCCGUUGUUGCUUGCCCUCGUGCAAGCCUUGUAUUAUAUAUGCAAAUCUCUUGUUGAUUGCCUAUUUAUACAUGUUGUUAGAGCCUUGGGCGGACAGGGGAGGCUCUGUCCGUUCGGCGUCUGUUGACGUGACCCGAACCCGACCAAAUUGGCGGGGAUUGGGGGCGUGAAAGAUAUAAUGGUAUCAGAGCGAAGCGGAAAGAAAAAGUCUAGGAAAGACCUAGGAACCAUAGGUAUGAAAACCAUAAAGACUUAGGAAACGUUUAACGUGGACUUGGUUAUGCGAAAGCGAAUGAUUGGGUCAGUGGUAACACUUCUCUAGAAUGAAGUAGAGAUGGACUAGGAGGCUUAAUUGUUGUCUACUUAAAGGACCUUGUGGGAUGGCCGACCACAUAACACCAAGAGUGGAAAUAAUUAGGCUUGUGCUUUCGCUUAAUUGGGUAGCUAUUUGGAACGUGUAAGGGUCACGUGUGUCGAGUGCUAAUGUGUGUGCAUUGCGUUGCAGGACGCGAUGGCACCACCAAGGAGAGUUACGAGGUCCACACCGGCGGAGUCUCGGGAGGAGCCCGGGCAGUCGGGGUCGGACGAAGUACGCGAGUUGCGAGCCCAGGUAGCGGCUUUGGCCGGGGCUAUGCGACAACAAGGGGAGCAGAUUGGACAGCUCCACGAGAUGAUGGCGCAACAGGCGGCGGCGGCAUCAGUACCGAGGGAUCCACCCCCACCGGCUGCCCCUGUAGCACCACCUCCUGCGGUGGCGGCAGCGCCAGUGACGGCUGUUCCUCCGGCGGCAUCGGGUUCAUCGGUUCCUAUUUCCGAUGUGCUUGAGGCCGAGCAGGAGCGUACGUUGGCGGCGUUGACGGCAUUCAAGCGGUUCAACCCUCCGACCUUCAACGGCGAUGUGAAGGAUCCGUGGGUGACGGAGAAUUGGUUGGCCGCGAUGGAGGCGUUGUUCGAGGAUAUCUAUACCCUCGAGAAGGAUAAAGUUCACAUGGCGGCUCACUGUUUGGAUGGGUCGGCUCGGUUGUGGUGGAAUCUAACGAAGAAGAAUUGCUCGCUAGGGCACACUCUUCUCACUUGGGAGGCGUUUCGGGAGAUGCUGCUUAUGGAGUAUUUCCCCAAGAGUGACAAAAGGAAAAUCAAGGAGGAUUUUCGAAAACUAAGGCAAGGAAGCCGAACGGUGCGGGAGUAUGAAAGGGAGUUCACGUACAUGAUUAACUGCGUGCCGGACUUGGUUCACGGCAAUAGGGACAGAGCGGAGGUGUUUGAGCGCGGGUUGCGACCCGAGAUUUUCAAGGUCAUUCAUGCAUUCCGCUUGAAGACCUAUGAGGAGGUUCUUGACCGCGCGNACUAAGGCAAGGAAGCCGAACGGUGCGGGAGUAUGAAAGGGAGUUCACGUACAUGAUUAACUGCGUGCCGGACUUGGUUCACGGCAAUAGGGACAGAGCGGAGGUGUUUGAGCGCGGGUUGCGACCCGAGAUUUUCAAGGUCAUUCAUGCAUUCCGCUUGAAGACCUAUGAGGAGGUUCUUGACCGCGCGCUUUGGGUGGAGCGCGGAAAUGCCAUUGCGCGGGACGAACGCGAGGCAUUUGAGAAGGAGAAGGAAAGGGAGAAGACCGAGAAGUGACCUGCUGGUGGAUCGGCGGGUCAGUCGAGUUCUAAGCGACCCCCGCGACCUCAGCGAUCACAGUGGCGGGGAGGUAGGAGUCAGACACAGGGCCAGACUUGUAACACACUGGACCUUCGCAAAUUGCGAGGUUCGAGUGUAUGGAUGUGUUUCGAGCUUUCCACACUUGGCGGAGGGUCGUAGAAUGUUUUCCGACCUAAAAAGUUCGAAAAUCGGGAUUCUGGACAAGUCCUGAGAGUUUUCACUCUCGGGGACCGGUCCCUGGAAGGAGAGACCGGUCCCCUCAGUGAGCAGUGUUGAGGCAGCCUGAGGCAACCGGUUCCGCGCAGGGAGAGACCGGUUCCCGAACGCUGGUUUUUCGGGUUCGCAGCGAGAGACCGGUCCCUGCUGGGGAGAGACCGGUCCCUCUGGGCGAAAACUGCCCAGUUCGGGCUGAUGUAAUAUUGGGUUUUUGAGGGGCCUCAUUGGAUUUUGUUACAUUAGAUGGGCUUAUUAGCCAUUUCACUCUCUUCCCUCCUCAUUUCUCACCACCCUACACCUUCUAGAGAGAGAAGAAGAAGGAGAAGAAGAAGAAGAAGGAAGAGAAGAAGAAGAGGAGCUUGUUUGAGGGAGCUUGGAGCUCAACCCCUUUCUCUCCUUUCCACUCUUGCAAGACUUGGAGCUUGCUUGUAGAGCUUAGUGGUGGACCAACUUCAACCCUAGGGCAUUUUGGGCUUGGAUUGAAGCUUCCAAGGGUUAGUAUCAUAUUUCUCUCCUCUAGAUUCCUAUUUUUUGUGAUUUUUGGGGAGAUGAAACCCUAGAAUGAGAUUUAGGGCUUAUUUUUGGGGCUUUUUGAUCUAGGGCUUUUGGACCCCAAUUGAUUGGAUUAGAACCUUCCUAGGGCUUGGAUUGGGAGGGUUCUAGCUCUCUUUUGGAGCUUUGGGAGAGAUUUCUUCUCUUGAGGUGAGUUUUGCCCAUUUUGCUAGAUGCUUAAUAUUUGAGCUUUUCGCUCUUCGUUUCGUUUGGGUAAUCCCGUUUUUGAUGUUCCUAGGGUGCUAGGAAGCUAGUGGAUACCUCCAUCGAAGCGCACGAAAAGCUUCGUUGUCGUCGGUGGGUUUGGCCUAGCAUACAAUAUGAAAAAUGCUCAUAUUUGGCAAAUAUGUUUCGUAAAAUAGAAAUUCAUGCAUUUCCAUGUUAAAUGUAUUUAAUAUGAAUUUUAGAAUGCUUAACAUGCAUAGAUCAUGUGUAGUAAAUUUUGGGACCUCUAUAUAGUAGAGAGCAUGUAUGUGUGGCCUAGCAUUCUAGAUGAGACAUGAGAUUAACAAUCCCUAUUAUGAAAACGAACCUUGCUUUCAUGCAUUUAAACUAUAUACCAGUUAUGACAUUAGGGAUUUUUGGAAGCCUAGAGAGGCUUAGAGACUUAGAGGAUAUGUGAGAUUGGGCCAAUGUCAUGAAGAGGCAUCGGGACCCGGGGCUUAGUGAGCAUUAAUGUUAAUGUCCUAUUGGGAACAUGAUUAGUUGUGGAGCUUAAGUGUCAUAAAGAGGCACUAAGCAAGUGUGUGUUGGGACCUCACAUUGUGACUUAGACUAGAUCUUCGGGAUGCUAGUUAUGAUGCCAUGUUAGAGACAUGAGGAUUGGACAAUUGAGACUUGGACUACGCUUGCUUGCCAUUUGUGCUCAUUCGCACAUGCUUGUGAGGGUCGCUCCCUGCAAGCCGGCACUCCGGAGUUAGCCUACGCGACUGUUGAUCGCUCGUGCGGUAUUGAGAAGCCUACGGGGUCGAGUGGGACAGACACAUUCCAAGAGUAGGAAUGUCGGGCUACCACAGGCACUUAGGCGGCACAAUAUCGCACGCAAGGCCCCAUAAAGAAAAGGGUAAAGUACUAACAAUAAUAAGACGUAAUGAGUAACAGCGUACGAAAGCUAAGUGAAGUGAUAAACCACUAUAUCACAAAGUAAACCUGAUGUACAUGGUGUAUGUUAAAAAAAAGCAAUCUACGCUAAUUCAUAAGAUAUUACGUCUCAACAUGAUAACCAAGUAAUCUUCCAAUGCAAAUGUAAUGCAUAAAGAGUAAGCUUUCAACCCAAGCAACCUGAGUAUACUACAAUGCAACAAAUUGAAAACCGGCAAGUAUGACAUACAUGUACCAAUUGCUAUAUUCAAUGACAUGUCAAAGUAAUCCAACUACUUAACCUAUCUAGUAGUAAAUUAAUUCAUCCAAAAACUGUGCUCGAUUUCCAUUUCAGAUAAGGACUAUCAAGGUAGUCAGCUUUGUGCCCCUUAAGUGCCUGUGGAGCCGACAUUCCUACUCUUGAAUGUGUCUGUGCCACUCACCGGUAAGGCCUUCUCACCAUACGCACGAGCGAUCAACAUGCGGUAGGCUAACUCCGGAGUGCGCGCUUGCAGGGAGUGACCCUCACAAGCAUGUGCGAAUGAGCAAAAUGCCAACAAGCUAGUCAAUCUCAAAUGUCUCAUCCUCAGUCUGUCUAACCAUGCAUCAUAGACUAGCACCGAAGAUCUAUCUAUAAGUUCAUCAAUGUGAGGUACCCAAACACACUUGCUUAUGCCUCAUUUAUGACACUUAAGCUCCGACAACUUAUAUGUUCCAAUAGGAAUUAAGCAUUUUAAUGCUCACUAAGCCGGUCCCGAUGCCUCUUCAUGACAUUGGCCCAAUCUCACAUAUCUCUAAGUCUUCUAAGCCUCUCUAGGCUUCCCAAAAAUGUCCUAUUCAUAACGGUAUAUAGUGUAAAUGAUAUGAAAGCAAGGUUCGUUUUAUAAUAGGGAUUUUAUCUCAUGUCUCAUCUAGAAUGCUAGGACACACAUACUAUGCUCUCUACUAUUAUAGAGCGUGCUCAAUUUACUAACACAUGGAGUCUAUGCAUUUAAGCAUUUCUAAAAUUUCAUAUUAAAUACUAUUUACUGGAAAUGCACUGAAUUUCUAUUUUACGAAAAUAUUGGCAAAUAAUGAAAGAGGCCAAUUUUUUUUUCAAUGUAUGCUAGGCAAACCACCGACACAACGAAGUUCGUGCGCUUCGAUGGGAGUAUCCACUAAGCCUUCUAGCACCCUAGGAACAUCAAAACGGAUUACCCAACGAAAACGAAGAGGCGAAAGCUCAAAAUAUUUAGAGCAUCUAGCAAAAUGGGCAAAACUACUCAAGAGAAGAAUCUCUCACCAAAGCUCCCAAAAGAGAGCUAGAACCCUCCCAAUCAAGCCUAGGAAGGUUCUAAUCCAAUCAAUUGGUCAAAAGCCUAGAUCAAAAAGCCCCAAAAAUAAAGCCUAAUUCUCCAUUUUAGGGUUUCAUCUCCCCAAAAUCACAAAAAAUAGGAAUCUAGAGGAGAAAAUAUGAUUACUAACCCUUGGAAGACUUCAUCCAAGCCCAAAAUGCCCUAGGGUUGAAUUGGUCACCACUAAGCUCUACAAGCAAGCUCCAAGUUCUUGCAGAGUGCGAAAGGAGAGAAAGGGUUGAGUCCAAGUCCCUAAAAAAGCUCCUCUUCUUGUCUCUUCCUAAUACUUCUUCCUUUUCUCCUUCUUCUUUCUCUUCGUAAAGGUGUAGGGUGGAGAAUGAGAGGGAAGAGAGUGAAAUGGCUAAUUAAGCCCAUCUAAUGCAUAACAAAUCCAAUGAGGCCCACUCAAAAAACCCAAUAUUACAUUCGCCCGAACUGGGCAGUUUUCGCCCAGAGGUACCGUCCUCACCGCAGGGACCGUCUCUCGCUGCAGAACCCGAAAAAACCAGCGUUCGGGAACGGUCUUCCCUGCGCGAACCGGUUUGCUCAGGCUGCCCACAGCGCUCCACGAAGGGACCGUCUCUCCUUACAGGGAACGUCCCCGAGAGUGAAACUCUCAGGACUUGUCCAGAAUCCCAUUUUCGAAUACUUUUAGGCGCGAAACAUUCUACGCCCUUCGAGGGUGACGAAAGCUCGAAAACACAUCCUGACACUCGAACUCGCAAUUGCUGAAGGUCGUUGUUACCAUUCACACCUGCCUAAAAGAGUUUCUGUCCGCGAAACUCAAAAGUACAAAAACUACCUCAAUCUCCGGUCUGAAAAAUAUGGGAUAGCGCUCCCCAAUAACGCUUCUCCAGCUCCCAAGUGGCUCGCGCUUCGUCGUCGGGUUGCUCCAAGCACCUUCCGUAAAACGCGAAAAUUUCUCGGAAAUUCCGCAAUUUUUCACUCGCGAUGCCAAAAUUCUCAAGAGCUGUGGCUCCUCAAAGUCAAAUCAUGCCGCAGCGCCAAAGACGUAAGUAUCAAUUGAGCCGAUUCGUGGAUGUACUUCGAAAGGACCGAUACAUGGAACACAUUGGGCACCCGAUAUUUUGGCCGUGUAGGGCCAGUCGAUCGUACCGGGCCACACGCCGCAAAACCUCAACGCGUCCAAUGAAUUUCGGGGGAUCAUACUGACCCCGGAUUCCAAAUCUUCGAAUUCCUUUGGUCGGCGAGACUUUGUCAAGAACACAUGGUCUCCAAUCUGAAACCCAAAGUCUCGUCGAACGCGAUCAGCAUAACUUCUCUGUUACUCUGGCGUCAACAAUCGCUCCCGAGCAAGCCGAAACUUUGUUCCUCUGUUCCUGAAGCACAUUGGGACCUAAAGCCAAUCUCUCGCAACUUCCCCAAUGAAAGUGGCGAUCUCACUCGUCCAUUAGAGUUGCAUCAACGUCCAUACUGAUGCUGCUUGAUAACUGUUGUUAUAAGCAAACUCUGCCAUCGUAGGAGCUUGCGACUGCUCUCCUGGAAGUCGAUCAGCAGGCUCAAGCAUAUCCUCGAGGUCUGUAUAGACGUCUGAUCUGCGUCACUCUGAGGGUGGAAAGCGUACUUGAAGCCAAACGCUACCAGAGCGCCUGUAAGCUCUUACUCAGAAGUGGAUCAAAACGGGGGUCUCGAUCUGAUAACGAUAGAAUAGGUACCGUUAAUCGCACGCAUCUCAUCCAUAAGAACCUAGUGCGAGUCGUCUCACCAUCCAAAUAGUGUGAUAGUUAUGAAAUGUGCCGAUUUCGUUAACCUAUCCACGAUCACCAAAUUAGCGUCAUUGCCGGGCUGUGAAGCGACGGUCAAUCCCAUCAAAAAAUCCAUGGUGAUCUUUCCCAUUUCCACAUGAACGUAGCUCUAAUAAAAUCCCGCGGGAACUCGGUGCUCAGCCUCACUGUUGACAAGUUAAACAUCUAGCAACAAACUCACAACAUCCUUUUUCAUCCCGAGGCACCAAUAAAGAACUUCAAGUCCUUGUACAUUUGGUGCCCCUUGGAUGAAUAGCAUACGGGCUCGGUGUGCUUCCUGCAGAAUAUCCUCUUUAUGCCAGUCCGCGCGUACACAAGUCGUCCGCGGAAACGCUACAAUCCUAUCACCGUCUAAAGUGAAGUACCGGUGCCAACCAUCAGCCAUUGUGAGCUUCGAAUCUUUUGCAACUCCUCAUCGGAAGCUUGCUUCUCUUUAUCCUUUCCAGAAGGGUAGGUUUGCACCACUAAAGUCAUCAGUCUCAAAGGUGUUAUCAGUGAGCACCACCUCAAUCCAACCGCUUCAUACUGCCGAAUCACGGCGUUUGAGUAAUCAACAAGCCUCGCCUAAGUUUUCUCGCGCAUUUCCGACUUAGCGCAUCGCACCGGUUAGCCUGCCCGGGUGGGAAAGUAUCCCGUAAAUCAUAAGUCCUGAGUAGCUCCAACAUCUGCUGCUUGCCUCAAAGUUAACUCCUUCGAAUGUGAAUAGAUACUUUAAUAUCUUGUGAUCCGUAUAUAAUUCGACUCGCUCGCCAUAUAAGUAGCGGCGCCAUAGUUCAAGGCAAAGCACGCCGCCAACUCCAAAGUCUGGUGAGUGGGGUAUUCUUUUCAUAAAUCCUCAAUUGGCCGAAUGCAUACGCGAUCACUUUCCACGGGUUCCUGCAUCAAACACAGCCACAUCCAUUGAAGAAGCAUCACUAUAAAUCACAUACCUGCUCCAUCGGCGGUCGGCGAAGGUAGGAUCGCGGGCCAGUCGUCAAUCGUUGCUUCAACUCUUGGAGCACUUUCACACGCGUCCGUUCCAAAUGAAACUUAGUGCCUUAUGCGUGAGUCUGUGAGGGGAGUAGAUAACUUCGCAAAUCCCUCGACAAACCGCGGUAGUAGCGGCCAAACCAAUGAAGCUCGUAUCCGGUUACGCUGUCGGCCUCGGCAAUCCUUUGUAGCUUCAAUUUUCCUGCGGUCCACGGCUAUGCCUGAUCCUGAAAUCCGUGCCAAAAACGCCACCUCUCUAAGCCAAAAUUCACACUUUUGUCGAAUUGGCAUAGAGCUCUUUUCCCGAGCACUUGAAGUACAGUUCAAGUGCUCUCGUGAUCCUGUCACUCCGGAAUACACUAAGAUGUCGUCGAAUAAACACCACAACGAAUUUCUUAUUAUAAGGCUAAAACACGUUCAUUAGAUCAUAAAACUGGCGGAUUAGUAGCCCAAGGCAUAAACAGUAAACUCAUAUGCCAGUACCUGCUGUUCUAAAAGCCGUCUAUUCGACACGUCCUCAGGUCUGCAUUCUUCACUGGUGAUAUCCCGCUGCAAGUUCUAUUUUGGAAUUAUACACAAGUAUCCCUGGAGCUGAUCAAAAGAUCAUCAAUCUCGGGUAAUGGAUACUUUCUUAAUCGUGACUGUUUAUUGAGUUCGACGAAGUCACACACAACGACAGUGAUCCAUCUUUUUCUUCACAAACAGAUAACCAGCUGGCUACCAAGGGUGACACGCUCAGGUCUCACGUAAACCUUAUCCACGAAAGAUCUGCAACUGCCCUUUCAGUCCUUCAACUCUUGGCUUUGGGUUUUUGUUUUUUUGCAUCCUAUUAGGGCGCCUUUGAGAUUGGGAUAGUCCAGGGGACGAGAUCUACCACAAUACUUCAUCUCCCUUAUCAGGAGGCAGGCCGGUUUCUAGCUCGGCCUGGAAAAAUCUCCAAUCAGCACACGGGGAUGUCUCAAUCUAGGGGAUGUCGCACACCGCAACACUAACAGUUGAGCCAAGUAGGCUAGAGCUUUAGCCUUCUACUAAUCAACUGCCCGAGCUGGAGAAGAGCUAAUCGUAUGCAAAGCCGACUCUGCGCAUUCCUCUGUAAAACCUCCGCUGCCACUCUUAAACGUUCACUCGUUCGAUUCUACAAUCGAUGGUGGCAAAAGACUUGGUCAGCAAUCCAUGCCCAAAAAACAUCUAAACUCCCCGAGUUUUGUAACAAAGUUAGCAAGUCCGAGGGCAUGAUCCAAUCUCCAAUCCACAGGGCAAACUGGGCAAAAAUCCCGAAUGAUCUAAGAAUGACGGGUACAAACCAACUCGGCCCUGGAUGCACAAGGAUACAAGUGGGAUGCCAUGCGCAGUCGGCCAAACAGACCGACAAUGAAUGAAUGCAUCACGGUAUCAAAAAGCUCUAAUCGAAUACCAUGUACCAUGAAGUAAAUGAUACGCUGCGACCACAUUCUCGGCUGCGCGCAUCCUCAGUCUGGGCCGAAGCGCGUCGGGGUCGUGACCCUACCGACAUGCCGCAGAAACUGCGGACUGGGACCGCCCUGCCUGAGUGUAUGCGCAGAGAUGUCCCCUGAUGGGGACCCGCAACUGGCGAUGCUGAGAUGCAGAUGCCGCCAAGAUGCGCUGGGCAAUGGAAUCCACGUGCAUCGACUGGAAGUGCUCGCUGGCACACAGGAAGCACGCUGCCCGGUGACGUGUACACUGUUGUGCGUAAUUGGGACGCCACAGAAUUCACGCAUGCGCUUGAGACCUGCGAGAAUCUGGUCUCCUCGCUGAGUAGAUGGCCGCGUCCUCGCGACUGGCUCCUCUCUGCGGAUGCCUCGGCGGCCUCCUGCGAGUGCGUUGACUCGCCCUCAGCUUGCUGCCUCUUGCCCUUGCUUAUCUAGGGCUCGCGACGUCCUGCAGAUCCGCCCUCCUUGCCUCCACAUCAAUUGGCUCAUCCACACCCCCAGGUAGGUCUGAGAGGUUGGAAAGACUGCACCAGCCUUCUGAAAGAUAAAGCGCCGCAAACCGCGACUCAAAGAUUGCGGGCCUUGGUCCUCGUCAAUCCCGAAAACAAAAGGCAACACAAUGGAUAAUCAGACAGAAAACUCCCUCUCGUACUCGGACCACGGACCGGCUCAUCUGCGACAAGCUGGGCAAGUCCUGCUCGCAUCUUCCUCUUGACGCUAGUAUGGAAAUAGUGCCGCCAGAAGAAGCUCCUUAAUGGCGCCAAGAGACGCUUGUCAAGGUCAGGUGCUGGGAUUAUCCUGGAUGUCCACCCACCAACGGUUAGGCCUCGCCGUUCUAGAAAGUGAGUGGCGAGCCAAACUCUGUCCCGUCCCUCCCAAACGUGUCUCGAAAUAGUUUACUCCAUUAUUUGAAUCAACAUUUCCAACAAUCAGUGCGUCGAACAUCCUCCAUCAAACUCCUGGGCUUGCACCUCCUAAACUGCCGAGGCCGCUCCAUAGCAUCUCCGCUCGCGCCCUCGGCCAUCACGGGCGAAAGCUUGCCCCCUCGCGGGUUCUUCUGUACAGGUAGUGCUGCAGCAACCUGCUCCCGGGUGCGGUCGGCCGGGUGCCGCACGGAAGACUGGGGCGCAGGGGACUGCCGCCCUCGGUGCGACGUUCCACACGGUACUUGCGGUGUAGGGCCCGGGGCUUCUCCUCGAUGCUGCGCCUGGUGUUGUCUAGGAGGUCCUCAAGAUGUUCAUCGCGCCUCCUGCCAGUUGAGUACCAGCCUGUCGCUGCGCGCUGGCUGUCGCUGCCGCCGAACAGAUCAUGAGGCACCGCAGAGCUGGGGCCCUCAGAGUCACGGACCUCACUAGAUCUCGGAAUAGCAGAGGUUUCUCGACUCCUCUGGUUUGGCGCAUCAUCCGCCCGCAGACUGGCGAGCGCAGUAAUCGGCAUCCGUCACUAUAGCGACAAAAAAGCGCAAGGUUAGUAACCCACGUAUCGCUAUCCCCGCUCAAAUAGAUAAAACCCCAAAUCAUGCGACAAGUGAGGAAGUGUCCUUCACUACUUAAUCCGAUAGUUACUGUUGUCGGCCAGCCAACGUAACCUUGCGCGAGUUAGAAGCCAUACCACUCGAUCAAACUCUAACUUUAAUAGAGUUGUCAUGAACCCAAUCAUAAUACUAUCGCUCACAAUGUCAUUAGACCGCCGUCUUCGACGAACCUUAAAUUCUAUAUCUAACCGGCCUAAGGGAUUUUGCUAGCGGUCCACUAAGACUCAACCCUAGGCUGCUGAUACCAAAAUAAUCUCUGUUCACGUCCCGGGACCGGCGCGAGGCCCUCCCGGUAGCGUGCCGACCGCCAUAUGUCAACAAUAGUAAGCGUCUACAAUAAAAGCGGAAGUAAAGCAAAGUUAAAAGAAGGUGAAAUAACUAGCAACUAAUGAUAUCAGAGACUAGAAUUAGUUCUAUAAUCCACACCAAGGGUAACUGAAAAACAAGGCUAAGAUCCAAUAUAACCAAUACAGUAGUACAAAUCUAAACUCCCAAAAGAAUACAAAAUCCAAAAGGAGGUUGCGUCUCUUACAUAUAAACGGGUACAACGCCACGCUUCACCAAAAUAAAACCAGAGAGGUAGACCACCUAUCGAAAUUCUGUCCUCGAAGGAAGCGUAGCUCAAGCGACUCCCUUCCCGCCGGUCCCUAGCCUCUCGGGUGGAAGGCUCUGAAAGAGAACACAAAACAGGGAGGAGUGAGAACUAUAAUUUAUAGUUCCCAGUGGCAAUAUACCUCAGCUCAUCGCCACCAAUAGGCCCCAAAGAAUAGGGUAAAGUACUAAGCAAUAAUAAGAGUAGAUAGUAACAGCAGUCGAAGGCAUAAGUGAAGUGAUAAACACUUAGUUCACAAGUAAACCUGAUUGUCAUGUGAUGUAAUCUACGCUAUCAUAAGAUAUAUAGUCACUCAAACUAUGAUAAACAAGUAAAUUCCUCACAAUCGCAAUAUAUUCAUCCAUAAAAGAGUAAGUUUUAACCAAGACAAUCAGAGUUAUCCUACAGCAACAAGGAAACGGCAAAUGCUACAUGUCAAUGUAUUAUCAUGAACAUUCAAGUAAUCCAACUACUAAACCUAUCUAGUAGUAAUUAUUCGAUUCCAAAACUGUGUUCGAUUUCAUCCAAUAAGGACCUACUCAAGUAGUCCAAGCNNNNNNNNNNNNNNNNNNNNNNNNNNNNNNNNNNNNNNNNNNNNNNNNNNNNNNNNNNNNNNNNNNNNNNNNNNNNNNNNNNNNNNNNNNNNNNNNNNNNGUGGUCGAGUUAGUUAUGUCCUUUUUGUUUUAAUGUAUAUAUUUGAGAAAUUAUGCUAAAAAUGUGUAUGAAUGACAUUAAUUGUUGUUAAAUAGGCAUGGAUAGUACUGAUGUAUGAUGUUUAUGUCUGAGACAUUUGUUCAACAGGAAGUGUGCGGCUUGUCCCGUGCCGGUGCAUUGGAUUAUGUGCAUAUUUGUAGUGUUGAGCCGUAUGAAGGGUUUUGAUUUGAUUUGAAUGGAUUGGCGAGGGAAGAUUGAAAAUACUAUGCCAUAUUGAUUGUGAAAGUAAAGUAAUUAUUUUUCGUGAACGCCAAAGAAGUUUGUAUCAUGCGUGUAAAAUCCAUUUUUUGCCUAUCAGUAUCGACUGUGAGAGACGAGGAAUUUGAUUAAUAGUGGAUGUGUACUAUUUGCGACAGUUGGCGAAUUAAGGAAACGACUUGGGUAUAUAGUCGAGAGUUUCAGAUAUUAUUUCUGCGGAUUACGAUUCCACGGACCGGAGAUGAGUCGUUAUUGAUUACUUCCGGGAUGGUGCAAUUCGAGGUCUACGAAUGGCAUCGGCAGAUUGAGGGAUUGAAAGAUCUCAGUUAUAGAUCUGUUUGACAGUUGAACAGUAUGCUGAACAAAGCACGGUCAAGCAUCCUAGCAACCAUUGAGCUUUCAACUCCUCAAUUCGCGGUCAUUUUAUGGACUUCCCGAAUUGGCGCGUGGGAACUAAGUCAUAAUAAUCAUAUUCCUCCGCUGAUAGCAAUUCGGUAAUCCCAGAAAUAAUCUGGAACUUGAAUAUUAAAUAUCCAGUCGGUGUCCUUUUGGUCUCCCAACUGAUCGCAAAUAUCUAACAUCAUAUUAAUCAACUUCCGUUUCGAUACUGCAUAGAAAAGUGAACUUUUACAAGAAUGAUACACAUUCUUUUGCCUGGUCACGAAGUAAUACUUUAUUUCAAUCAAUAGUGAUAUAUUUCGAAGCCAAUUUCAAGAUCAAUAAAACCUUCAUAGGUAACACUGAGAAAUCGCCAGUAAUCCAAUCACCAACCUCACUGGACAAGCCGCACAUCUUUUGACAUAAAAGUUGUAAGGAGAUACCCAGAUCGUACUAUCCGAAUCUCGACGUCAUGAGUUUGCAAAUGAUACUAAUGAAGAGGAGAUAGGUUUCACGCAAUUAUCAAAUAAUGGUUCGAAUUUAGUGCUUAUUAAUAACGAAAUAGCCUGCCACAUCGUCGCAACAGGCUUCACCUGAGACUAGCAAAACACACCACGGGAUCGGGGAUCUUGGCUGAGCGGCAUAGAUGAAUCAGCAUAAGUAGGGGGAGACCCACGCUAAUCUGUCUCGGGGUCAUGAACUGCAACGCGAUGGGCAGGUAUGUCACUCGGGCACUCCGAAUCAUGUGUUAGUGACCACCUAUAAAUGCCUCCUGUGAACAAGUCGAAGUCGAUGAUGCCGCGAGAUAAACAUCUGGGAGUCCCGAUACUCGAUUGUGGAUCGUGAUACCGAGGGGCUUUAGAAACUUGAUGUCCCGACCACUUGUGGUCCGCUUUUUCCUUUAUCCUUUUCCUUUUCCUCUAAGAAUUCGUGUCAUCACAGCAAUGUAUUACCUCCCGCGCCCAAGCGAUCAAACUUCUCAAGUCUUUAACUGAAGCAUGUAUCCUUUAAAUAUUCGGUCGCACCCGCUCAAAAUUCGCUCGAUCUCGAUCCCGUGAUAUACGAACCCAAAUGUGAAGAUUUCCGUACUUUGUACCGAAGUUUACUGUCUAACUUGCGUGAAAUCUUUUCAUUUAUCCUUUUAUUAUUACCAGAAUACUUCUGACAGUAACUCCAGAAAUUAGCCCAAGUUCUUGGUUGAAGUUUGUAGCGUUUUUCUUGACUUCUCACAAACCUAGCUGUUUUUCAAAACUUAGUGCAACAACUAAAUGAAUUUUUCUUUCUACAAGUAUAGAUUCCUAAUAACGUUCUAUAGAGUAGCACAGCCCGAUUCCAAGGAUCUGUCACUCUCGUAACUUAGGAGGGUGAACCAUAAAGCUUUCAGCACCAUAAGCAUAUCGUCCUGUCAGCCUCGUACGGCGACCAAUCAGAAUGAAAGGCAGAAACACCGGAGGAGAUAGUCGCCGGAAACAGGGACGCUGUUGGGGGCGCGUCGUAGGUUAGGAAUUGACUACGUGCCUUUGUGCUGCCGCGACACUAAUCCUGCUCCUUCAUUCGCUUUUCGCAUCUGACAUGCCGUACUAACGCAGGUCAUUGAGCAGCAGCUUCGCAACCUAUUAGUCAACGUGAAGACUCAGGUAAGGGAGGGAUGCCGGUGUGCGAUUCGUGAACGUCGCGGGUGCUUUACUCCGAACGUUAACAUUCAAGUUAGUUAAACAUAACAAUCAGGGAAGCUAAUCAAGUGUAUUGGUACUAUCCGUAGCUUUAUAGUUUGCCACCAAAUAAUCCUCAAGUUGUUCACUGGAUCAUCUCCUAAUUAAGCAUUAUGAGACUAUAAAAUAACCCAUUCAUUUAGGUUUUUGCUAUCAUUUAGUUCAAGUCCACUCGCGUCUAGUUCCAUUAGGUUUUCAAUCUUAAGCCCAUAGGUCCAUCCUAACCUUUACUUUGUCAUUUGCUCGAUAAUUUUAUUAUUCACGUUCUGCUACGCCAUUUGGCUAUCCGGCCCGUAAAACAGUCGAACGACACCCUCCCUGUCGCCAAGAUCAACCAUUUCAAUUACAUGUAUGAAAGAAAAAUAAUCCAAUAAAUUUCAUAUAAAUGGGCUUGCACAGAGGGCAGAACAAGUACAUGAAAGUAAGACUAACUAAAAUGCAUUCCCUGUAUCUUUGAGUUUUUAAUAAAAUACAGAGGCUGGAUAAGAAUUACAUUUAGUUAUUUACACAUUUAUAUGUAUUAUAAGAUCAUUUUUAAUAAUUCCUUUCAUCAUAUAUAUACUAUAACAAAAGCGUACUAAAUAUAUCGGAUCCACUAGCUAAUGUACUGGGCCGUCUUUCACGUGCCUCGAACGUCCUCAACUAGAUCGAGGUUAGUGGUGGAUGUGAUAACUACUAAAAUUUUUCGUUGUUUGGCUCGACUCGCCGAUUACCCACUAGGUUACUGCAGUUAUUGUAGGCAAGAAUUAGAGAAAUGAUAGUAACAACUUAUAAUGUAUCUACUAAAUGUCUGUUACAAGCUGACAUGAAUAAACAUAAUAACAUAAUGAAUUAUGCAUGUAUGCUGCUAAUAACAUUACCCAAUAAAUAUUGUUAACCAUUGUGUAUAAUUAAUCCCCAACUCAAUCCUACUUCGGGGAGAGCUCCGCUAAGACCGACGGGUUAUAUGCGGCAUAUACCACUUCAACCAGUUGAUGACUACUCCGGAGUCAUGCCCAAGGAGGAGCAACCGUCAGUCGAGCAUUAGAUAUGUGAGUAUGAUCUAAUCUCACUGAGAGGAUCAAUGAUAUGACUAAUAUCACUUUAAACGUUUAAAUACCUUUAUACUAGGUUUAACAAUGCUGAAUCUCGAUGCUAACGUUAUUCUAUCAUAAUAGCACCAGAGUUUGCUAUUGUCUAAUAAUUAUAAUUCAUACUUCACAGGGUUUCUAUUCAUAUUCUAUUGUCACAUGUUCUUACAUUGUAAAUUCAAUUGUCUUCAUACAUUCUGAUUAACAUUCCUUAAUGAGAUGAUACUAUUUUGUCAUAUACAAAUAUUGCUCCAAAAGGCACAUAGAAUUAAGAGUGGAUUCGAAAGAUGGAUAGCAUAUACCUCGUGGGGAUGCCAAUCUAGAACCAAAGUUUCAAAAUUUAUACACGCCUAUUCUUCGAUCCACGAAACGAGGCAAAACGAGGUUUUUCCUUAAUUAACAGCAUAGUCCGUGGAAUCGAUUCAAGCUCCCAAGUGAUACUUUCCUUCAUGAGAAGUACAAGAGUCAAUUCAUGUGUAUUCAUUUUCUACAAAUGAUAUAUAACCAUACAACACUAUACAAGCCAUGUAAUCUCCACCAGUAAUAGCCUAUGUAUUAAAUUUAAGUUGAAUAUUUAAUUGGGCAUGUGUAUUAAUAUAGAAGUUAAUUUAAUUAGUUAACAGCAUAUCUUGACUUAGUUAAUGUAUUUCUAUUAGGAUAUGGUACCUAUUAUGUGUGUUCCAUCAGGGUUGGAGCACUCUAAAAUCAUGACGUAUUAUCACUUGCCGUAAUAUCUUUUUCAUGCGAUGUACAUAGAAAUAUGAGUAAUGGUGACAAGCUACGUUCAGGGAGCAUUAUUAGCAUGCUUCUAUUCAAUACAUUGAUGCGAGCAAACUUCUAAUGAGAUAUUUCAUACAUUUACUUAGGUUGCUUCUCCCAGCAAUCCGUGCUCAAACCUCCUCUUCAUGAAGCUCAAAAAAGCCACUCCAAACUUUUCCACCAACUUUCAUUCACCAAACAACACAUGGUUAGAGAGAAGAGUGGGAGAAGAAAGGAGAAAGAGAGUGAGGAGCGCUUGAAAUGUAGGUGACGGAAUAUGUGGGGUUAAAAUAAGAGCACAAAUUGCUCUUUAACCCCCUUCAAGCUAAAAUUUUCCUUACUUAGUUCCCUUUCGAUUGGUACCGGCACUCAUUUAGUACCUAGUACCAAGUCAACCUGAAUUGCGCAGCAGUGGCAGUAGCAUUUUUCCAAGCGUUUUCUUGCUUCAUUUAUUCGGAACACUCUAAAUAUUUAAACACUUUGCAAUUAUAUCCCACCGAUACCAAUUGUUAAGUUGGGGACCCAAACACAAUUUAUAUUUUAGCAUUACUUUUUGAUCAAUUGAUUAUAAAAUUGCUUGUCGUCGGGGGAGAUCGUAUAUAUAUGACAAUACGUGAACGAAACGUCAGACUAACGAAGAUUGCGAGAAGGAGAUGACGGGACGAUUAAACUCCCAUUUUCCAUUAGGUAGAAAUCGGGUCGAGCGACGUAGAGACAAGUGGAAUGAGGAGAAAUCGGACGACGCGUGCUGUGAAGAACGUCGUUAAAGAAACGCGAGAAGGAAAGAAGGAAUGGCCGAUGAACUUGCCCAUUUCGCGUUAGGGUGGGCAAUCGGGAGUCAAUCGCAGCUAGAGACGACGGCUAGAAAUGAGGUAUCUAAGGAUUAAAUGGGAAGAGAAUAAGGGAAAAUUAUCUAACGGGUGGGGCGUUAUGAAAAUAAAUUAGAGACAGUGGCAUUCCUACAAAGCAUAAUUAAUUAAGCAGAUGUUUUAAGAUGUAUCGAAGGUCAACAAAGAAAUUUGAAAAGUUCUUAACCAUUAAUUGAAAAAUAUGAUGAGGAAAAAAACGAACGAUGGCCCAGAUAAAAUCAAAUUAGCAAAUAUAUUAGUGACAGGAAUAGGUCCAAAAAUUUUCCAUUAGUAAUAUCGAACGGACUAAAGGACAUGGAUUAUAGUAGUUAUGAUAUAAUGUUUUUGUACAAGAAUAAAUAAUACGAUAAAUAAUAUAAUUAUAUAUUGAUAAUGUUAAUAUAUGUAUAUAAUAACUAUUAAAACAAUACAUUAUUUUAUAAAAUGUAUAACAUAUUAUAUAUUAUUCUUUAUAUUGGUAAAUUUAUAUAUAAUAAUAUUUAUUUUGGUAAACAUUAAUGUUAUUGGAUUUCGGAGAGGUUGGAUUUGUCCUCCAACCUUUUUCGACCUAAAUUUUUAUAGUAGGGGCCAAUCCGAAGUUAUAAUUUUAUAUCCAACCCGGGUCAUCAUUCUAUAUUAUCAUGGUGUGAGUAAGAGAGAGAUUGUGUUUUUAAAAGUGCUAGGCAUUUUUGUCGCUUCUUAAAAAAUUUUGAUUCAAAUUUGUAAAAUAAAAAAAUGUGGCUCUAUUUUUGAGUAAACUAAAAACUAGUUAUUUCUUGCGAAAAAGUCUAAUAUUUUUAGAAAUAUUAUUUUUUGACUAAAAUUAUUAUUCUUUAUUUUUAUUGUCGGCGAUUUUUUUUUAUUUAUGGCUCAGAGACCCUAGCAUAAUAUUAGUUCAAUAACCGCGCGCACCAUAUAAAAUAUUUUAAAUUUUAUUUAAAAUAUCUUGAUUUAAAUAAUGUAUUUUAAAAUUUAUAAAAUGUUAAAAUUUUAUUUUUUAAAGAAAAUUAUUUAAAUAAUAUUAUAUGAAUCUAUUUAUAGAGUGUAUUUAUUCAUUUACGCAAUUCUCUGGUUACUUUUAUUAUUUUAAUGUUUUAAAAAUUUAAUGGUAACUAACAUAAUAUAUAGUUUCAUUGUCAUACAUUAAUCGAUUUAUAGAAGAUAGGUAUACAAUCUAAAAAAAACUUAAAAUAAGGAAAACUUUAUUUCUUUCUCUGGAUUUAUUAUUUUUACUUUACCAUAUAAUGAGAAAAAGUUUACACUAUCUACCCUGUGAUUUACCUCAUUUACAGUUAUGAUGGAUAGCUUUAAAUACAAAUUACUCUUCGCGAUGGUUAGUUCAAAAAAAGUUAAUUUUGCAUCGUAUUGAUAGUAAAUUUUUCGUAAAAAUAAGAGAUUAAAACAAAUAGCAUUUGAGUAUUAAUUUAUUAAUAAUAAAAAUGAAGGUAAAAUAAGUUAAACCAUAGGGUCAAAUUAAAGUUUUACCAAGAAUUUUUAGACCAAAACAGGAAUGUAUAGGUUUAUAUUAGGGGUUGAAAUGGUCUCGGGUUAAACGCCCAGCACGAUGAGCAUUGUAUGAGCCGGCUUGGGGAAUUAAAAAAUUUAAAACCGAAAAAGUUUGGGCAUACAUAUAUUCCAAGCCCGGCAAGCCGAUUUGAAAGCUCGAUAUCUUAUUAUCAAAAUAAGCUAUUUAGUUAUGUAGAUAGGGUAAAUUUUUACAAGUAUCACAAAGUGUACUUGUGUGUGUUUUUAUCAUUGAUCGUAUUUUCUGAUUACUAAUUGUCUUGGAUCAAAUUAUGCCACUAACCCCACCUUACCACCACUAGACCACCAUAUCUUAACUAAAUUCAGUCUCCAUCAAGGGCUAAUAAUACAACGAUAAGUAUCAUUGGGUUGAUACUUUUACAAGUAUUCUAGUCUAUCUUAGUUUUGAGUUUAGCUUUAUAUCAUAAUGUUGUUUUCGAAUUAGGGCUUUCGAAUGCGAUCCAUAAACGAUUUAAAUAUGAUCUACAUUAUUUAAAUUUUAAAAUAAAUUUCAUAAUUUCGAAAUUCAUAUAAAAUCCAUCAAGGGCAUAAAUGAAUAGUGCUACAAAUUGAACGAAUGUCUAAAAAUGACAUGAUCAGAUCUUCAAUGUAAGAUCUAAAUUAUUGAUCUUUAUCUAUGUAUGUAAUGAAUUUUUCUAGCAAAAAAUACGAAACUAUUCCAAUUCUUUUACAGUUAAAGCUAGAAUAUCCCAUACGAGCGUAUAAAAUUAUAAUUUUGAGCUUUUGUAUAUAGUAAAUGAUAUCGAAAAAUUAUGAAUUUGAUAUAGAAGUUUGACAAAUGCUUUAAAUAAUGUUUUACGGUAUGGAUUCGCGAUUGGAAGCUCUAUCAUCGAAAAAAUUAUGAGUACAAGAGUAGCAUCUUACUAAUAAGAGUAUAGUAGCUGACUCUUUUAGUUAUAUAUAUAUAUAUAAUAUAUAUAUUACUAUAUAUAUAGUAUUAUAAUAUAUAUUAUAAGCUAAUCAUAGUAGUAUAUACUAAUAUAUAUGAUAUAUAUUAUAUUAUAUAUUAUAGAUAUAGGUUGAAAGAUUAUUAAGACACAAGCUAUUACUGCUAUUUAGUUUUUUAGCCAUUGGUUGAAUAAAUGUGCGUUAGAAUGAGUGCGCGCCUUUAGAGGUUGAGUGGGUGUUUUGUUGAAUAGUAUAAUUUAAGGUAAAAAUAUCAAAGGGAAUAUCAAAGAGGUAAUCUAACGGUCGAAAACUCUGAUAGCCACAAGCCCGGUAGAUUGCUAUCGAUAGUAUUCCAGCCAGCUUAUAUAAUAUAUAUAUAUAUAGCAGAUGCUGUGCUCUAGGGUGGGCCUCGUGGCUCCUGAGCAGUGUUUCAUGAGAAAUUCGAAUGGCGAUCGCUCCGCUGAAUUGAUUUAGCGUUAAUUUAAAGUUCUAAAAAAUAUUUUUGGUGAUUUUUCGAAUAUCAUUUACAGCAACGAAAGAUUUCAAAAUCAAUAAUUUUAACGGCUAAUAAAAAUUCUUAAAAAGUUAAUGAUAAUAGCACUAAAUUUACGAAUCAGAAAUAUUUGAUCUUGUUAUUAGAAUAUUUAUAAGAUUGUAUCAAAUUUCAUCACUGAUUUGAUAUUCGUUACACCUGUUAAAUUGAAAAUGGUAAUAUCAAUAUUUAAAAAAUUAUUGAUUUUGAAUCCUUCGUUCACUAGAUUAAAUGUAUAUCGAAAAAUCGCAAAAUAUUAUUUUUCUAAUACUUAUAAAUUGCGUAGAUAAAGUCUAGCGGCACGUCAUUCGAUUUCGAAAAUUAAUAUCGAAAAUUGGACGGAGUGGAGGCCUCGUGUCUAAGAUGGCACAGCACCUCUCUCUCUCUCUCUCUCUUCUUCUUCUCUCUGAUAUAUUAUUAUAUAUAGUUGUAGCUAGUAUGACUAUCGGAUAGCAACGGGCCGUUAGCACCAUGUUGGUUUUCGAUAAUUAGAGAUUCCAAUCGAGAUGAUCGCGGUUGAACAUGACCAUAUCGCUUGAAGUGUUUACAAUCAAUUUCAUCUUUUCGUACAGUUAUUGCUAAUGAUUAAGUUUUCAGAAAUUUAUAUUUUAAGUGGUGAUCUGAUUUAUGAGAAGUUCGUUUACGGGUAAAAGAUAUCAAAUCAAUGAAUUUUUGUUAGAAAUUCUUUAAACUAUUUAAAAAGAUAUUGAACUCUUGAUCUUGAUUACAUAUGCCUUUAGUAAUUUUAAAGAAUAUUUAUUUUCAGCGUUCAUUUUUGUGUCCAUGUAUGAUAAGAGAACAAUAUCAAAAUGUGAUGAAAUUUGAUAUCUAAAAACUUUUCAAGUGGUAUUAGAUAUGUUAAACGUGUCGAUCGUCAAUUCAGAAGGCUCAAUCCACAAACAAGAUGGGUGGCAACGGAGCCAUUUGUAUCAUGGCAUUCGAAUGCUCAAAUCUCUCUCUCUCUCUCUUCUUCUCUCUUAUAUAUAUUAUUAGUAUAUAUAUAUGUAUAUAUUUAUUAUAUUAUAGAGUUUGAGGGUUUAGAAUACUUUAAACACUAGUGAGAUAUAUAUUGAGUUGAGUGAAUUGCUAUGGUAGCAACUGGCUUAGUUGCAUCGUUUGUUUUGAUGAUGAGGAGCUUUAAAUUGACGAUCGGCACGGUUGAAAUGAUAUUACAUUGAGUAUCUAGAAAUAAAAUUUAAAAUCAUUUCAAUAUCAUUACUAUUGAUCAAAGAGUUUUCAAAUUUGUAAUUUAAUGAUAGAUAUGAUUGUGUUUUGUUUAACUGUUUUUAAAUUAUCAUAAAAUCAUUGAAUUUUGGUCUAGAUUUCUUUAAAAACUAUUUAGAUAAGAUCUAUAUCAUCGUCUGAUUACAAUAUUCCUAUCAUCACUUUUUAGAGGAUAUUCAUUUUCAUGCCCGUUAAUUUUUACGCACACUUGGGGGAGUGGACAAAUGAGGGAUAGAUAGCGAAAAAGCAUGAAAUUUGAAUUUUAGAGAUACUUCAAGUGAUAAAUCAUAUUUAACGGUCGAUCGUAACGAUUUGGAGCUCCUAAUUUCAUUCGAGAAACAUGGGUAGCAACGAGCUGUUUAUAACCGAUAGUAUUCUAACUCAAUCUCAUCUCUGUCUCUCUCUCUAUCUCUAUCUCUUCUUUCUUAUAUAAUAUAUAUAUAUAUUAUAUACAUAUAUAUAUAUGAAUUUUCUAACCAAAAUUCAAUUGAUUUUGAUAGCUUUACACAGUUAAACGAGAAAACACCUCAUAUCUAUCAUUAAAAUUACAAAUUUUGAAACUCUUUGAUCAUUAGGUCAAUGAUAUUGAAAUGAUUUGAAAUUUAGUUUCUAGAUACUUCAAGUGGUAUAGAUCAUGUUCAACGGUGCCGAUCGUCAAUUUAAAGGCUCCCUCAUCAAAAACAAACGAGUGGCAACAGAGCCAGUUUGCUACCAAUAGCAUUCCAGCUCAACUCUAUAUAUAUACUCACUUAGUGUUUUUAAAAGUAUUCUACCUCAACUCUCUCUCUCUCUAUAUAUAUAUAGACAGAGAGAGAGAGAGUUGAGCUAGAAUGCUAUCGAUAGCAAACGGGCUCCUGUAACGAUCCAGCCCACUAGCAACAAUAACUCGUUGGGCCCAAUCACCGGCCCAAAAUGCUUAAGCCCAGUUAUUAUUACUAGUGUCUAAGAUAACCCCAUUCCCAUCCGAUGUGGGAUUAUUGGGGUGUCACAGCUCCGUUGCCACCCAUUUGUUUGUGAUGAUUGAGCCUCUGAAUUGACGAUCGACACCGUUUAACAUGAUCUAUACCACUUGAAGUGUUUAGAAAUCAAAUUUCAUACAUUUUCGAUAUUGUUCUCUUAUCCAUCGAGUGGACACAAAAAUGAACGGCUGANNNNNNNNNNNNNNNNNNNNNNNNNGGUUAAGUGCAAAGUGUUUGUUAUUGGACACGGUGAAUCAGUCACCGUGUGCAAUACAAAAUAAUUGAACACGGUGAAUGAUUCACCGUGUCCAAUACAAACACUACAACUUUAGUCAUUUUUGGUUAAGUUGCGAGCGUAUUUGUAUUGGAGCACGGUGAAUUGAUUCCCCCCCCUCCCCCCCCCCCCCCCCCCCCCCCCCCCCCCCCCCCCCCCCCCCCCCGCCCCCCCCCUCCGUUCCAAUUACAAACAAACCUGUAUGGACACCUGUGAAUGGUUCACCAUGUUUCAACUUAAACACAUGGCCCAGCCCGCCGCGUGCGGCUGACGUGCGUCUCGCGUGGCGGGGCCAGCGGCCAUUUUUGCAAAAAUUUGAUAGGCGGCCAAUUUUAAAAAAUGUUGUCAGGCGUGGCUAUUUGCAAAAAAAGCACAGAAAAAAAAUGUUAUUACAUGCAGCCCUCACUAAGUUGGUCUACUUUCUUGUAUUACUCUUAUGUAGUAAAGCAUCUGAGAUGAUUAAAAAAUAUAAUCAACUUAUAGCUCAAACUUAGUGUUCUCAUUUGUUAAAUUUAAUGUACAUAGUUUAAAUUAAAUAAAAUUUUAAUUUUUGAAUGCGAAAUUCAAAUAUCAAGAUCAAUAAAAAUUUUAAGUUUGAAAUCACAAUUUAAAAAAUUUAGAGUUUGAAUCAAAAUUAUAGAUUCAUUAAAAUUUGGAAUCCAAAAUUGACAAUUCAAAAUUAUAAUUACUAAUAGUUGAAAUUUUCUUUAAGAUUAAUUCCGGAUUUAAGAUAUAAAUUUUUUUAAAAUUUUUUUGGACUUAAAAAAAUAUGCAAACUUUAGGAACCAAAUUGACAUGCAAAAAAAGCCUAAUAGGGCAAUGCACGCAUAAUGUCGUUAAUUCUUAAAAUCUCUUUUAACGUUUCAUUUAUCGGUGGUAAGAUCAAGACGAUUUGAAAAUUUGAUGGUGAAGGCGGAUUUUCUAUGUAAAUUAGACAUCUUUUAAUAUUAUCUGCGUAUAUCUAAUUUUGAGACUUGCCGUGUCAAAUUUCAGCUGAAAAAAUAAUUUGUGAAAAUAAAGAUUUUACACGUUUAUUACUUUUCACUUAAAGUUAAUUAUGCAAAUUACAGUCAACCUAAUACUACUAAGUUCUUCGUUUUGCUUAAAAUUUCUAUUAUUUUAGUGUCAUCAUCUCUUUACUGGAAAGGAUAAGGUCUUUUGAGACUAAUAGAAGUGGUGCCAAAGACCUUUCUAAGAAUUUUUUGAUCUCGAUGAACUCCACUCAUCAAGAUUGGUGUAUCGAAAUCUUUCAUUAAACGAUGUUAGGUAAUUCGGCUCACACCCUUACCGGGUCGAAUUUUUUAUAUUUUGUAUGCGCGGUUUCAAGGAAAAUCAUGCUUUGUAUCACAUAUUGACCUUUUUCUACUUCAAUGUUCUUGCUUUUAAAAGUUUCUUUCAUGCUCCUUUUUGCGUGAAAAUUUCUUGGGCUGUUCAGUCAUAGCAUUUAUCACACACUAAGUGAGUUUUGGAACACAAAGGUAAUGAUUGGAAUGCUAAAUUGCGUAUUUUUUGCUAAGCUGUCAAUUUGAGCGACUAUGUUGAAAAGUUUAUCAUUUCUAUAUGAAAUUUUUCAGUUUCUGGUGAGUGAAAUGUUCUACAUGAAGUAGACUCGGAGAGAAAGGUUUGUUUCAAAGUUUCGUAGCGAAUUUGGAUUUGCCUGGCUUAUUGGCAUCGAAUGAAUUGACUGAUUUGAUGUUUUUCCAUGAUCGAGGGUUUUUUCGACGUCAUGCACCGUUAUUUUUAUGCUUUUCAUCGCUACGAAACGGUGAGGGGCCAUUGGCGAGGGUCUAUUAUCAAGAGAGUGUGUAGUUUUAAAAAUAAAAUGAGUUUUUGAGAGGGGUUUUGUGGUAAACGUUAUAGAAUACAUAUAUAAAUAUCUAAUUUCUACUCCAAUGGUGGCUUAGUUAAACCCUAGCCGUAACACCGCCUUGGCGCACCCUUGGAGACCCCCACCUGUACGGGUCACAGCGGCGGCCUCCUUGGCCGGCGACUUUGGCCGACCUCUGGGCCUUCCCCUGUAUCUCUCUCUAUCUAUUCUCUCUCUCUCUCUUCUCUCUUCUGGUUGUUGCGCCAACUGCCACCGCUUGCGGUGCCGCCGCUUUGAAGGGUGCUCUGGCAACCCUCCCCUGCGCCAUCCCUGCCAGCCAGGCCGCCCAAGGCGAGGACACACUUUGGAGCCGCAGCCGAGCUAGGCUCGGGCUAACCCCGACGAGGACGGGAUCGCACCUUCGUUGCCGUUGCUGCCCCGUCGCCGCCUCGGGGCGCUUCACUACCGCCGUCUCUAACCUCAGAGAAUGCGCAGACUUCACCCUUACGCCAUCCCAUACCGCCUGACCGGGAGGAGCAAGCACGAGUUCGGGGCUGCUUGUGCAGGCCAGAGCUUGCCCCAUCUUCCGCCACCGGCUUCCCUGCGCGCCAGGUACGAAGCCAGGAUUCAAUCACGAAGGGGCCCAAUUGUACAAAAAGAAAAAAUGUUUAGCAGAAUAAGAUAAAAGCGCAAAUUUAUUUUUAGGUACUUCAAAUGCCUUUAAUCAACGUCUAACGGAACCGAUCGUCAAUUCGAAAGUCCGAACAUGCGAAAACGACUUGAAGCCGGAGGCCUCGUGCUUCCAUAAGCCAUACCAGCACAACUCUCCCCGCCUCUUCUCUCUCUCUCCUCUCUCUCUCUCGUCUUCUCUUUCCUCUCCUAUAGAUAUAUAUAUAUAUUAUAUAUAUAUAUAUAUAUUAUAUAUAAUAGCUGGAUACUCUUAGUAGUUAAAAUAUUUUUUCGCUAUGCAAGUUGUUUAACCUUUGGAUGAAAAAUUUAAGGUUAGGAUGAUAUUUAGUCAGUUAGAGUUGAUGGUGCCCCUAGGGGGGGGUGAGUGGUCCCCACUGGUUAUAAUAUUUUAAUUCAUGAUUAGAAAUGUGACUGAAAAAAGUUGAUCCAAAGUCUAAAAAACUGGUGCAAUAAGGGGGAAUUUUGCUACUAGAUAGAAUUAGCCCGUCCAACUCUUAUAUAUAAUAAUAUAUAUAUAUAUAUAGUUUUGAGUAUGAUACAUUUUAACAAGUUCGACCAUCAUGGUGCUAUUAGGUUUUAAGCAUUGGAUCUACUUUUUGAUUAUUAAUAACCUAUUGGAUUAAACACUAGUCCACCUACACACCUACCACAUACCUCAUCUAACCUCACAGCUCUCCAUCCAAGGGCUAAAAACACACAAGUAAUCACCCCCCAUGAUUAUUUUUUACAAGUAUGCUAUGCUAUUAUAAUAUAAUAUAUAUAUAUAUAUAUAUAUAUAUAUAUAGUUGAGCGUAGAUACUAUCGAUAGCAACGAUCCGUUGCCACCCAUUUGUUUUGAUGAAUAGAAGCCUCCAAAUCGAGGAUUGGCAACGUUGAAUAAUUCCUAUACCACUGAAAUGUUUAGAAUGCAAAUUCAUAUAUUUUCAAUAUUAUUCUCUUAGUCAUCGAGUGGACACAAAAAUGACGCUGAAUAUGAAUUCUUUAAAAAUGAUGAUAGGAGUCUUGUAAAUCCAAGAUCAAGAGUAUAGAUCUUUGUUUCUUAAAUAGUUAAAAAAUUUUUUGAACAAAAAAUUCAAUUGAUUUGGAUAUCUUUUUAUACGCCGUAUUAACGAGAAAAAAGCCGUCAUAUCAACCUUUAAAAUUAUAAAUUUUGAAACCUUUGAUCAUUUAGGAAUGAUGUCAAACGAUUUGAAUUGUUUCUAAACACUUCAUAGUGGGAUAGAUUCAUGUUCACGGUGCCGAUCCGUUCGAUUUGGAGCUAUCCAUUCAUUGAAAACAAAUGAGGUUGGCAACGGAGCCCGUUUGCUUAUCGAUAGUUAUUCAGCCCUCUAUAUAUAUAUUAGAGGAGAGGAAGCGAGAGACGAGAGAAGAAUUAGGCUAUUAUACUUAUUUUUAUUAGUAGUUCGGAGCUCUGGUACGUAGAUCUUGUUUUUCGAUCCUAAGGUUUCAAAUUAACGGAUAGCCAACGUUAAAUAUGAUUUAGGGUAUAUGAAGUUCUUAGAAUAAAAUUUGAGAUUUUAUUCGGACAUUAUUUACUAGUAAAUAAUUAUGUCAAAUGGACAGUUGAAAUUGAAUAAUUCUUUAAAAUUAGUAUAGGACUUUUAAAUUCAAGAUCAAGAAUAUGUUGAACCUUAAUCUAAUUAGUUUUAAUAUUUUCUAUCUGAAAUUUGAAUGAAAUUUAGAUCUUCUGCACCGUUAAACUCCUAAUCUCACCAUAGUCAGCCAUUGAGAAAUUAACAAUUUUAAAAUUGGUUUGAUCAUAAAGUAAACUAUGUUCGAAAAAAUAUAAAUUUAUUUCUAAAAACCUUUAAAUACCCUAAAUCAAUUUUAAACGCGUGUGAUCAUUGAUUUGAAUACUCUAAGAUCGAAAACGGGAACUAUAGUACUGGAGCCCCGGUACUGAUAAUAGUAAUAGGGAGACUAGCUCUCUCUCUCUCUAUAUAUAUAUAUAGGUCUUGGUGCUAUUAGGAGCACAGAGGUCUCCAUGCCUCCUAAAGCCGUUUUCAAUGAUAGAGCUUUCGAAUCGACGAUCGGCUCGUUAACUUGAUCGUGUAUUUGAACUACUAGAAUAAUUAAUUUUUUCGUGAUUUUCAGUCAUCAUUUUUCUAGUGAUCGAAAGAGUUUAAAAUUAACAAUUUUUAAUGGUUGAUGUGAUACCGUUUGCAAGUUUUUAAUGAUGUCGAAGUAUUCAAAUCAUAUGACAAUUUUGUAGUGAAAAUUAUUUAUACUAUUUACAAAGAGUAAUAUCUUUGAUUCGAAAAUUUUAAGAUCUAUCAAUCCCAUUUUUUGUGAAUUUUCCAUUUUCAGGUCGCUUGAUUUUGAACCGCUUUUCAAUCGUUAGGUAAAUAUUUCGAAAAGUCACAAAAUUUAUUUGUCUAAUAACUUCAAUUCAUGCUAAUAAGUUCUAACGGAGCCGAACACGUCGAUGUCGAAAGUUCCCAUCAUCGAAAACGACUCAGGGCACGGAGCCUCCGUGCUCCUAAUAGCACACAAGUCCUACUAUAUUAUAUAUAUAUAUUAUAAUAUAUAUAUAUUAUUAUAUAUAUAGCUAUAAUAUAUAUAUAUAGAGAGAGAGAGUAGAGCGGGACGAGAAGAGAGAGAGAGAUGAGAGAGAGAAGAGUCCGGCUAUGGUGCUUGUAAAAGUCAAGCAUUGUGUGCUUGUAAAUUUUUGCCGUUAGAUCUACCUUUAUCAUUUUCACCGUUAGCUUUAUACUAUUCUAACUAACACCCACUCAACCCUAGGGGCCGACAUCAUCCUGACCACACAUCCUUUAUCCAAGGGCUGAAAAAACUGUCAACGCACAAUGACUUUUUACUUUUAAAAGCAAUAGGAGCUUCAAUUUUAUUAUAUAUUAUAUAUAUUUAUAUAUAAUAUAUAUAUAUUAUAUGAAGUCCUGCUACUUAUACUAUCAUGGUCGAUCGCCCUCGACUAAGUUGUUUUCGAUGAUAGAGCUUCCGAGAUCGACGAUCCACAUCGUUAAACGUUAUCUAAGCCAUUGAAACAUCUAGAAAUCAAUUUCAUAAUUUUUCGACAUCAAUUACCUGAUAGAUCAAAAGCUCAUCAAAACUUGAUAAUUUAACGGUCCGGUAAGAAUACGCUAAUUAACGAUGCAAAAGAAUCCGAAUAGUGUUGAUUUUGAUAGAAUAAUUCUAUUCACUACUAGAUAAGAUCAAUAUCGUUUCUUAAAGAGGAUCCGAUCAUCCAAUUUUAUAAGAAUUUCGUUCCAUUCUUGACUGUUGCAUUUAUGCCCACUUGAUGGACUUAUUAUAUUUUUCAAAAAAUUUUAUGAAUUUAUUUUCUAGAAAUUUCAAAUACUUCGAGACAAUAUUUACGGAGAUCUCGAUUCGGAAAGCUCUCAUUCGAAAAAACACACUUAUGAGUACGAAGGGUCGAAUUACUCUAAUAGUAUAGUAGCGCUCUCUCUCCUCUCUCUCCUCUCUCUCUCUCCUCGUCUCUCUCUCUCUCACACCCCGCGGUCCCUUUCGUUUAAGAAUAGCGGAAAGCUGUCUGAAAUUUCUUUUUUUGUUGAACCGACCCAGAGAUAUGUCAGAUCCGCCACCAAUAUAGAGAUCCGCUAUCACAGGACAGAGUUCCCCUUCAUUUGCACGGCGUCGCACAGUACAAGAAUACAACCAGAUACAACCACAACUAGAUGAAUUAUAAAGAUUACUAUACAUGUUCAUACAUUCACCAUCACAUCACAGUUUUACAUUCAAUGUUUAAACAGAAAUCCAGAUGAAAAAUCCUUUGUGAAAACUGUUCCUUACACGAAACCUUUAAUCUUUAAAAAUGCUACAUGCGAGGUAGAAACCUUUUAUUUACAUUCAUGAAAAUCCGACAUAUUCAAAUGUUAAUAAAAGAUACUGAACCAUCAUAAACAUAUCUAAGCUAUAUAUCAAUAGAAUAAAAAAGGUAAGAGCUAAACGAACGACCUGGGGUCGGAAGAUCUAUCCGACGCUACGUAACGUGUUCACGUCUUGUCUGAACCUCACGCCUGCAAUACCCUGAAAAAAUGGUGGGGGAGGUGAGAACAUAUGUAAAAUGUCUCCCCCUCCGUGGGGUACCGCAAGCCGAUGAAGGCGAAGGAUUACUCCCGGAUCAGGAAGAGUAAUAAACAAACAAUAUGGUUAAGUGGAAAAUUAAACAGCACAACAAAUAAACGAAAAGAGAUAUGUAAGUAAUGAGCAGAUAAACCGAUACAAGUAGCACUAAACUGAAAAAAAUAAGAACGAGGACUGAAUAACGGCUACCCGCUACGGUAAACUGAAUUCGAAAGGAUACAUGAAUAUUCUACUAUUAGUAGCAAGACAACUAUGAAAGUAAGAACUUGUAAAUAUGCGAUGCAACGACUGCUACUAUAGAUCAUAUGCGUAACUACGAUAACCUCAAAAGUUACCCAUAUUUCUGCUGCCCUAUUUGCGUCGAAGACCUCAGGCCCAUGCCUUACUGCUCAACCUGUACCAUGCCCUCGCAAUGAGCCCCUGGUCGUUCAGAAGCAUCAGCUACCUGACCCAUCGCAAUGAAGCCCCUGGGUCAGAACAUAUACCCUCGCCUAAUAAAGGCGUCCUGGGCGCUCACGGGUGGCCAAUCCAGACCAGCUUUUCCGGAAAGAAACCCCCUGCGGUGGAUCAGACGCUGGUUUCGGAAAUGCGUACCUUGUAGUGCCGUAUCAUGUAGUAUGCUCAAAGAUCUGCCAUCGGCAACUACCGACAAUCCAGCCCUCAGGCACAUCGAUGUUAUAUCUAUCAGCAAUAGUCGACUAGUAAGUCAAAGAUUAGAACUGGUGUAUAGGCACUCGACCGAAUAGGUCAUAGAUAUCAAUAAAAUAGGGGAACCGCAACAAAAUCACAAGAGUAUUAGUUGAAAAUAGUACAACUCUUAUUCUAAGCAUGAUAUCGACAUAAAAAUAACUGAGUAAUAGUAGAGGAGUACAGAUCAAAUCGCAGGUUUGCCAAGUUCAUAUAAUUUACUCUGUAAUAAUAACAACAGAAAAGUAAGGUAAGGAAACCCGGUAUGGUCUCAACAUAAGAAGAUAAGAACUGGACCACUCAGGUCAACUAGGACUGGGACAACAUCAACAUACCUCAUCAAACAUAUGUAAAGUACUGCUCAAUGGAACCGACAAAGACUUGACCACUCAGAUCAACUUAGAUGCGAACGACUCUACAUCCUACUCAACUGUAUGCAAGUACUGACUAAUCAGUCAACUGGGCAAUGGAACAACUCAAACCCUACCAAAAGUAUGUAGAUACUGACUCAUUAUUGGUAACUAGGUCAUAUAAACAGAAUCGAUCAACAAGUCAUCUGAGUUAUAUAAAUCUAAAGACGUACCGGUCGCCACUAGCGACAUCCGACCCCUCAGAGGUACUCCGACCUCAUAAGGUAUCCAAACGGACAGACAUCACGGAACCGACGACUAGGUCACCGAUCGUCACAAGGAAAAGAAAUCACGGAAACCGCCUCUACUCUAAACCAUGAAACAGGAAUAUGCAGAAAUAGCCUAAUAGAGCAGACAAGAAACAUGUGGUAUCAGCAUACAAUAGACUAUACUCCUACGCAUGAUAUUAAGGGAUGAGACGUGCUGAUUCAGAGUAAAUCAAACACGUUGGGGCAAUGUUGAUGUAAACAAUUAGAGGUGCAAAACUCAACAUAUAACUUAUGCAUGCGAUAAUAACAAAAGAGAAGGGUAAGGAACCAUCACCGAGCGUGCCACCACUGUACAACGCUGCGCGAUCGAAGUACCCACCUGUACAACUAUCGCGCUGGUCUCCUUGACUGCCAAAGACGUCAAACAGACUAAUGGAGCGGCUCCAACUGGGUUAGUGUCUAACCCUACUAAGAACCCUAAAAGCAUAACCCACAAAAAACCCACCGAGAAUCGGUUCCAAACCGCUCGUCGUAAUACGCCGAAGUCCCGAAACCACACCGGGACGCCGUUCGGGGCCACACUAAGUGCUCCCGAUAACUCACCGACUCUUGUCCACGAGUCACCUACUGCCUAAAACACUCCAAUUUGGAUUUUUCGGCAAGCACCAGCAAAUAACACCACGUACACACUUUAUCGCCGGACUUAAUUGUACGAACACGGGUUCCGCGAAGUGUCAAAAUUCGACACCGGAACCCCCACCGUCGCCACCCGUCAUCACCGACACCACAAGUGAUGAUGUGUGACCAGCCAACAAGGCUUAACGACCAUCACAGUAGCCAACCAACACGGACUUUCGAAAGAAAUCCGACACCGAAACCGCGUUCUUUCGGCGCGAUUUCUGCGAAAAACGCCAUGCGAAUCGAGCUCUUCGAUUUCUGCAAAAAGUAACGGAUCAAUGGACAUCAGUCCAGAGGACCACCACACAUGUCUACACACUGUCCACAGUUAGUCUCCCAAGGCUCACAAUUGCACAAAGCCCCUGAAUGACAUAAAAUCCCAAUUUUAUGUAAAAUUGGCGAUUACAUAGGCCCGGUACACGCAAACGAGGUACUUCAUAAGUUUCUGCUGAGACACAUACUGAUAGGUCUCGACCGUACGGAGGCCGUGCUCACGGUCUGAGCGCAACAGGUCACUGUGGAACGCCAGGGAGCAAUCCCGAAGGUUCAGCGAACAGCGCGCAGUCGAGGAAAUUGCUCCAACAGGGCUAACCGGACACAUAUUAUGCCAAAGGUGAGCGUUGAGCACGUGUAUAUACUGACCGAUCACCGUGCUCACCUUCCGAAUCGAUCGGACAGCCUCUCGGAUCGCGGAUAAGCGUUGCGCAAACCCAAAACACCAAGCCAACAGUCGACAGGGUCGACACUACCAAACAGCCGGAACGGAAGUCUCCCGGCCGAAUCUAAGUGUGAGCACGAUGAUCAGAAAUUUUCUACGAUCAUCGUCGCCUCCCUUUCGCAGAGAUCGGCGGAGCUCAGGAAGCCAAAAGUAAACCAUCCCAAACUAAGCCCUAUUUCGGCUUCGGCGGAGAAGGUUGUCCGGCCGGCCUCCGGCAGCACGGCGGCGCGCGACGGCGGGCAGGUGGGCGUCGGGGGAGGUGGAACACGAUUGCUCCCUCCUGUGGCGGCGGCGCGUGCGUCGUAGCGUCGGCGGAGAAAGGCAUGCCCGCACACUAGGCCGGUCCUUGGUUGUUGGUGUAUGAGGGGGGGUUGCUUGGCCACGAUGGCGCGCCGGGCAGGUCGAGGGACGAGGCGGAAGGGCCACAGGGCGGAGGAGAGAGGAAGCGGCUGGGACAGCGCGGCGGCCCGCGUGCUCUGGGCGUUGCCGCUCGAGCUAGCGUCGGAUCUGCAGGCCUUAUAGGCGGGCUGGCGCCAAGGCUUCAGGCUGCGGGCGGCGAUCAAGGCGGCGGAAGAGCCGGCCGGAAAGUCGGGCGACACAGGAGAAGCUCGCGGGUGUGGACCAGCGGACUGCGGGCGCUGGGUGGAUGUUACCAAGUCUGUUCGGUCCGGAGCAGACCUGGUGAUGGCUGCAGGGUGGCCGCGCGGCGACGGCUCCGCGGAGGGGGCUAGGUGAGCGCGGGACCUGGGGUGGUCCCGAGGUCCGGGAUGUGCGGCCGGAACGGCGUGCCGCGGUGGCUUGCGCGCGGGUGAGGCGAUCAUCCUCGACCUAAGCUCGCCUGCAGCAAGCGGGUGCACAGGUCCGCGGCGGCGCUUGGCGCGGCGACGGUCGGCGGAGAUGUCGCCGGAGCACGGGCGCACCUGCGGAGGGUCUGGAGGUUGCGCAGUCUCGGGCUUCCUCCGACAACCCGAGAUAAAAAGAGAGGAUGAAGAGGAUAAGAUGGAUGAGGAGAGAAAGUGAGGGCGAAAGCGCCGGGGAGGUCCCCGGCGACCGCAGCGGUUGUGUCGGCCAAGGCCGCGCAUGGGUGGCAGGAGGAGGUGAACAGCGGUUAGGAGCUAGGUUCUCGGAAUGGUUGAGGGUUAGGGUUAUCACAUGAAAACCCUAACUCUGUUAGGCCUUAACUAGAGACCAAAUUCCAAGUAAGUCCUCCAAAAACUCUAAAUUUCAUAACGACGUCCUCCACACGGUGAAACCGAGAGAAUACCCUCCAUGUACGAUCCACGCAAAACGGCACAUAAAAUAUCGCAUCUUUUGCGAAAUUACAUUUUGCCACACCGACCUCUUCUUUCGAUCAACGUUGGUGAUUCCGCAGAUCCGUUCAUCGGAUUGCGAACGGAUCACACCAGUGCAUCAGCACCUCGAGUAGGCAAAGCUACGAUUUUUGGUUCACCUCGAAUCGACCAAUAGAUUCGCGACGAAAAUCCAUUCUUCUUUUCCAAAAGGCCACAAUGACGCACAUUACAUAACAAACAGUAUUUUCAGAUUUUCGUCGAAACUCAGUGCGUCACAAACCAAAAUCCUGUCAGCGCCAAUUAUUUCAGAAUAGCGCCCAUCCUUUCGAACACGAGCUAGUUGGACUGAAUAUGACUGAGUCGAUACGCCACCAGAAGCCACUCUACUCCGUGGCUUUCCGGAAAACCGGAGUUUAUCUAUUCACUUAAGUGAAAUACUAAAUCGCCGUAACUUCUCCGUUUUAGCUCAUUUUUUUUUUCUCCUUGAAACUUGACGAUGUUGCUUAUGUAAUUAAAUUGACACAACUAAACAUCGUCAACAGAGCAGUUUAGUUGCCUGUAAAAAACUCAGUCGCUUCACUCUCUCUCUCUCUCUCCUCUCUCUCCUCUAUCAUAUAUAUAUAUAUAUAUUAUAUAUAUAUAUAUAUAUAUAGAGUCCAAUUUGGUGCUGUAAAAGCACAAAGCAUUGGUGCUUGUAAGUUUUUUACGUUAGAUCUACAUUCUCGCGAUCAUUUUCAACCAUUAGAUUAUCACUAUCAACCAACCACCACUCAACCCUAGGGGCCCAGCAUCAUCCUAAUGCAUAUCUCUUAUCAAUGGCUCGGGGAUACAAAUCUACAGCACAUAUAAAUUGGUACCUUUUAAAAGAUAGGAGUCAAUUCUAUAUAUAUAUAUUAUAUAUAUAUAUUAUAUAUAUCAUUGUCUGCUUUUAAGACAUUCUAGCUCAACUCUAUUAUAUGUAUAUAUCAUAGAGUUGAGCUAAAUACUAUCGUAGCAAACGGCCGUUGCCACCAUCUUGUUCAGAUAGGCCUCCAAAUCGAUCGAUCGGCACCGUAUAAACAUUAUCUAUACUGACUUGAAAUAUUUAGAAAUCAAAUUUCAUAAAUCUUUUCGAACAUCAUUUACCUAAAGAUCAAAGGUUUUCAAAAUUGUAAUUUUACGAUGGUCAUUAUUGAAGGUGUUUUCCGUUUACGGACUAAAAAGAUAGUCCAACAUCAAUUAAAUUUUUUAUUAGAAAUUCAUAUAUUAUAUAUAUAUAUAUAUAUAUAUAUAAUAUAGAGAGAGAGAGCGAGAGAUCGCUGAUGGACGAGAGAGAGAGAGAGAGAGUAGUUGAGUUUUAGAAUACUAUCGGUAUAAACCAGCUCUUGCUACCCAUUUGUUUUCGAUGAUGGAUCCUCAAAUCGACGGAUCGGCACCGUUAUAAUAUGAUUUAUGCACUUGAGUAUUCUAGAAAUCAAAUUUCAUGCUUGUUCCGAUAUUUUCUCUUGCAUCAAGUGGGCGUAAAAGAUUAACGGUGAAAUGAUAUCCUCUAAAAGUGUAUGAUAGGAAUUGCAUAAUCAAGAUCGGAGUAUAGACUUUACUUCUAAAUAGUUUAAAGAAUUUUCUAACCAAAUCAAUUUGAUUUUGAUAGCUUUACACAGUUCAACGAGAAAACACCUUAUAUCUAUUCAUUAAAUUACACAUUUAUGAAACUCUUGAUGCAUUUAGGUCAAUAGAUAUUGAAAUGAUUUGAAUUUAUUUCUUAGAUAACUUCAAGUGGUAUAGAUCAUGUUCAACGGUGCGAUCACGUCAAUUUUAAAGGCUGCCCUCAUGCAAAAACAACGAGUUGGCAACAGAGCCAGUUGUACAAUAGCAUUCCAGCUCAACUCUAAUAUAAUAACUCACUUAGUGUUUAUUAAAAGUAUUGUACCUCAACUCUAAUAAUAUAUAUAUAUAUAAUUAAUAUAAAAUUAUAGAGAGAGAAGAGAGAGAGAGAGAGAGUUGAGCUCGAUUGCCAUCGAUAGCAAAAUGGGUCCGUUGUACACCCAUUUGUUUGUGCAGAUGAGCCUCUUGAAUUGACGAUCGACACCGUUUACACAUUGAUCUAUACCACUUUAGUGUUUAGUAGAUAUAAUUCUCAUACAGUUUGAUAUUGUUCUCUUAUCCAUCGGGGACACAAAAUGAACGCGGAAAAUAAAUAUUCUUGUAAAAAUGUAAUAGCGAGUCUUUUAAUCAAGGAUCCAAGAGUAUAUAUCUUGAUUUUAAUCAGUUUAAAGAUUUUCUUAACAAAAUUCACAUUGAUUUGGAAUCUUCUCGCCUGUUAAACGAGAAAACGUCUCAUAUCGAUCAUUAAAAUUUAAUAAAUUUGAAACCGUUGAUCAUUAGGCAAAAUAAUGUCGAAAGAUUCGAAAUUUAUUUUGUAAACACUUCAAGGAUUAUGGUUCUAUGUUCACGGGCUGUCAGAUUCACGAUUUGGUAAGCUCUAUUAUUCGAAAACAAUAUGGGGGUGAACUGGAGCCGUUUGCCUAUCAGAUAGCAUUCCUAGCUCAACUAUAAUAUAUAAAUAUAGAGAAGAGAGAGCGAGACACGCCAGUGCGAUUGUGCCCGGGUCCGACGUCGAAGUUACAAGAGUCGAUGCUGGGGAGAGAGAGACGAGAGAGGCAGGGAUUGCUGCUGCUCUUAGGAGCACGGAGGCCUCCACUCCGCGGCCAUUUUGAUGAUUUAAAUAUUUCGAAUCGAUGUCGGCGUCCCUAACUUGAUCUAGCAUAUUUGAAGUUCUAGAAAAUAAGCUGCAUUUCUGAUAUAUUUACCUAGUGAUCGGAAGGAUUCAAAAUCAAUAAUUUUAUGAUUGAUAUUCUACCAUUUCAAGUUUUAACGGUUGAUAAGAGUAUUCAAAUCAGAUGACAAUUUGUGAUACAAAUUCGUUUAUACCUUCUAUAACCAAGAUCAAUAUUUCUUGAUCGAAAAUUUUGUGCUAUACAUUUACUUUUUAUAGAUUUUUUUCAGCCUCGCUUAAAUUAUGAUUUUUGAAUCCUUUCGAUUGCUAGGGUAAUGAUUAUUCGAAAAUCACAAAAAUUAUUUUUUAGAAACUUUAAUACGCUAAAUCAAGUCUGGUAGCGGAGCGUCGUCGAUUCGCAAAUUUCAUCAUCGAAAACGGCUCAGGAGCACGGAGGCUCCACAUUGCUCCUGAAGCACAGCAGUCGCUAUUAUAAUAUUUAUAUGUCUGGCUGGAAUACUACGUAGCACAAGGGCUUGGUGCUAUCGAGUUCGACGUUAGAUUUAACCCUUUGAUUAUUCCCUUUUGGAGUAUUUUACCUGUUAAAUUAUACUACUUCAACAAACCACCACUCAACCCUAAGGGCCACACUAUUCUAACGACAUUUUUGCAAUCAAUGGCGAUAAAAAAUAAUUAGCAGUAAUAGUUUGGUCGUGCUAUUAAUAAUAUUUCAACCUAUUUCUAUAUAUUAAUUUUAUAUUAUAUUAAUUAUUAUAUAUAUUAUUUAUAUAUAAUAAAUAUAUAUAUAUAUAUAUUAAAUAACUAAGAGCCGGUACUAUACUCUUAUGAGUAUUGAUCGCCCUGCUUCGUACUCAUAAGUUGUUUUCGAUGAUAGAGCUUCCAAAUCGACGAUCCAUACCGUUAAAUAUUAUUUAGAGCAUUUAAAACUUCUAUAUCAAAUUUCAUAAUUUUUCGACAUCAUUUACCUUACGAUCAAAAGCUCACAAAAUUGAUAAUAUUUAACGGCUCAUAUGGGGGACUUGCUAGUUUAACGGUGUAAAAGAAUUGGAAUAGGUUGUAUUUUUGAUAGAAAAUUCUAUUCACUAUCUAGAUAAAGAUCAAUAAUUUAGAUCUUAAAUUGAAGGAUCUGAUCAUUCAUUUUUAGGACAUCGUUCAAUUUUGACCAUUCAUUUUAUGCCCGUUUGAUGGAUUUUAUUAUGAUUUCGAAAAAUUAUGAAAUUUAUUUUUUAAAAGUUUAAAAUAAUGUAGAUCAUAUUUAACGGUAUGGAUCGUCGAUUCGAAAGCCCUAUUAUCGAAAACAACUUAUGAGUAUGAAGGGCCUAAUACUCAUAUAACUAAGAGUAGAGCUAGAAUACUUGUAAAAGUAUCACCCAAGUGAUACUUGUGUGUUUUUAGCCCUUGGAUGGAGAGAUGUGAGGUUAAGAUGAUGGUGGUAGGUGGUGGUAGGUGGUGGUAGGUGGAAUAAUGUUUGAUCCAAGGACAAUUAGUAAUCAAAAAGUAGAUCCAAUGGCUAAAAACACACAAGUAUCACUUGGGUGAUACUUGUAAAAGUAUUCUAGCCCUACUCUAUAACUAAAUAUCUUAUUUUGAUAAUUAAGAUAUCGAGCUUUCAAAUCGGGCUUGGGCCGGGCUUGGACAUAUCCAUGUAGGCCCAAACUUUUUUCGGGUUUAAAUUUUUAAUUCCCAAAGCCCGGCCCAUACAUGGCUCAUCGGGCUGGGCCUUGUUUAGACCCGAGACCAUUUCAACCCCUAAUACUAACCUAACUAUUUCCUUUUUUUGGUCUCAAAAUUCUUGGGUAAACUUCAAUUUGACCCCUAUGGUUUAACUUAUUUUUACCUUCAUUUUAUGAUUUAAAAAGUUAUACUCAAAUGCUAUAUGGUUUUAUCUCUAUUUUUUACGAACAAAUUUACUAUCGAAUACGAUGGCAAAAUAAACUUUUUUUGAUAACCAUCGAAGAGUUAAGUGUAAUUUUUAAAGCUAUCCGAUGCUAACGUGAAAUUGAGGUAAAUCACAGGGUAGGAUAGUGUAACUUUUUGCAUUAGAAUGGUAAAGUAAAAAUAAGCUAAAUCUCAGGAGGAGAAAUUAAAGUUUAUCCUUAUUUUUAAGUCUUUUUUUUAGAGUUGUAGUACCUAUCUUCUAUAAUCGAUUAAUGUAUGAAAAUGAAACUAUAUAUUAAUGUUAUUUACCAUUAAAUUUUUUAAAACUAUUAUAAAAUAAUAAAAGUACCAGAGAGAUUUGCGUAUGGAAUCAAUACAUCUAUAAAUAGAUUCAUAUAAUAUUAUUUAAAUAAUUUUCUUUAUAAAUAAUUAAAGUUUAACAUUUUUUAUAAAUUUUAAAAAUACAUUAUUUUAAAUCAAGAUAUUUUUUAAAAUAAAAUUUAAAAUAUUUAUAUGGUGCGCGCGGGUUAUUGACUAAUAUAUGCUAGGUCUCUGAGCCACAAAUAAAAAAAAAAUGCCACAAAUAAAAAAAAAUGAGAUAAUAAUUUUAUGUCAAAAAUAAUAUUUCUAAAAUAUUAGACUUUUUUCGCAAAAAAAUAACUAGUUUUUAGUUUAUGCAAAAAUAAGCCACAUUUUUUUUAUUUUUACAAAUUUGGAUCAAAAUUUUUAAAGAGGGACAGAAAAUAGCCAUACACUUUAAAAACACAAUCUCUCCUUCCUCAGCCCCCUCAUGGAUAAUAUAGAUGGAUGGACCGGGUUUUGGAUAUUAAAAUUAUAACUUCGGAUUGGACCCGACUUAAAAAUUUAGGCUCGAAAAGGUUUUGGAGGACAAGUCCAACCCGUACCCGAAAUCCAAUACAUUAAUUACCAAAAUAAGAUAUUUAGUUAUAUAUAUAAUAUAUUUAUCCAAUAUAAAGAAUAAAUAGUAUAAUAUAGUUAUACAUUUUUAUAAGUAAAUAUGUAUGUUCGGUUUUAUUAUAGUUAAUUAUAUACAUAUAACUUAACAUUAUAUAUAUAAUAUAUAUUAUUUAUUCGGUUAUUUUAUUUUAUUUUUGUACAAUAAAAAUAUAUCUAUUAACUACUAUGAAAUCCCAUGUCCUUUUGUCCACGUGGCGAUAUUAGCUUAAUUUGAAAUUUUGUGGGACCUACCUGUCAGCCUAAUAUAUUUUGCUUAAUUGUGGAUUUAUGUUGGGGCCCAUCUGUUCGUUUUUUUUCCUCAUAUAUUUUUCAUUUAAUUGGUUAAGAGACUUUUCAAAUUUUCUUUUGUGGGACCUGCCUACCAUCUUAAAACAUCUUGCUUAAUUAAUUAUGGGCUUUUGUAGGAAGCCAACUGUCAUCUUAACUUAUUUUCCCAUAGUCCCACCCGUUAGAUUAUUUUCCUUAUUCUCUUCCCAUUUAAUUCCUUCAGAGACUCUUCAUUCUACCUUCGUCUCUAGCGUCGCUUCGACUCCCGAGUUGCCCACCCUAGACGGCAAAUUGGGGCUGGUUCAUCGGCCAUCCUUCUUUCCUUCUCGCCGUUUUCGUUAACGACGUUUCGUUCCAGCGUGCGGUUACGAUUUCUCCCAUUCCACCUUCGUCUCUAACGUCGCUCGGACUCCCGAUUUGCCCUACCUAGAUGGAAAAUUGGGGCGAGUUUAUCGGCCGUUCAUCUUCCCUUCUCGCCAUUUUCGUUAGCGACGUUUCGUUCCAGCGUAUUGUAAUAUAUCGAUCUCCGACGACGAAGCUAAUUUUAAUCAAAUUGAUCAAAGUAAUGCUAAAAUAUAAAUUGUGUUGUCCCCAAGUUAAAUUGGUAUCGUGGGGAUAGUUAAUUGCGUGUUUUAGAAGUAUUUAGAGGUGUUCGGAAUAAAGUGGAAGCAAGAAAACGGCCUUGGAAAAAUGCUACUGCCAGCUGCUGCCAAGUGCAGGUUUUGCACUUGGUACCGGUACUAAAUGGAGUGCCGGUACCAAAUGCCGAGAGGGACUAAAGUGUGAAGGAAAAUUUUAGCUUUUGAAGGGGGGUUAAGAGCAAUUGUUUGCUCUUAUCUUGUAACCCCAGCAUAUCCCCAGUAGCCUACAUGUCAAAGCUUCUCUCCUCACCUUCUCUUCUCCUUUCUUUCUCCCACUCUCUCUCUCUAACCUAUGGUGUUCGGUUUUGGUGAAGUGAAAGUUGGUGGAAAAGGUGUGGAGUGGCUGUUUUGAGCUGAGAAGAGGAGGUUUGAGCAGGGAAUUGGCUGGUGGAGAGGCAACCUAAGGUAAGAUGUAUGAAAUAGCCAUGAGAGGUUGUUGACUCCACAGUCUAUGUAUGUGAAUAGGAAGCAUGCUAAUUAAUUUGCCCCCUGCAACUGUAGGCUAUGUCUACCAUUAUGCAUAUUCUAUGUACAUCUGCAUGAAAAAGAUAAUUACGGCAAGUGGGCAUAUACGUUGCAUGUAUUUUGAGAGGUGCUCCACAUGCUGAUGGAAGCAUCACAUAAUUAGGUACCAUAUCCUAAUAGAAAUAAUUUGCUAAGUCAAUAUGUUCUGUUAACAAGUUAAAUUAACUUCUAUAUUUAAUACACAUGCCCAAUUAAAUAUUUCAACUUAAAUUUAAUUAGCUAGUAGGCUAUAUACUGGUGGGAGAUUAGCAUGGCUUGGGUAGUAGUGGUUGUAUGGGUUAUAUAUGAAUGUUGUAGAAAUAUGAAUACAACAUGAGUUUGAUCUCUUGUAUUCCUCAAUGAAGGAAAGUUCGACGUGUUCGGAAGCUUGAAUCGAUAUUCCGACGGACCUAUGGCGUGCUAAUUAAGGAAAACCUCGUUUUGCUUUCGUUUGCGGUGGAUCGAGAGGAAUAGGCGUGUAGAAAUUUUGAAACUUUGGUUCUAGCAUUUUGGCAUCCCUACGAGGUGGAUGAUGCUAUCCGAAAUCUUCGAAUCCCUCGUUAUGUCUAUGUCGCCUUGUUGAGCAUAUUUGUAUAUGAAUAAUAUAGUAUUCAUGCAUUAUAGGGUAAUGUUAUAGUAUAGUUAUGAAAUGAGCAAUUGAAUGUGUACCAAUGUAAAGAACAUGUGGACAAUAGAAUAUGGACAUAGAAACCCUAUGAAUGUAUGAACUUAUAAUGGAUUAUGACAAUAGUAAACUUGGUGGCAUUGUGACUAGAAGAACGGUUAGCAUCGAGAUUAGAAUUGUUAAACCUAGUAUAAAGAGGUAGUUAAAGUUUAAAGUGUGAUAUUGUCAUUCAUUGGAUCCUCUAAGUGAGGAUUAGAUCAUACUCACAUUAGUCUAAUGCUCGAUGACGGUCGCUCCUCCUUGGGCGAUGAGCUCCGGAGUAGUCAUCAACUGGGUUGGAAGUGGGUAUAUGCUCGCCAGUAGACGGUCCCGUCGGGUUGUAGCAGGAGUCUCCCCGAUAGUAGGGAUUGAGUUGGGGAGUUAUAGUUAACCAAAUGGUUAACCAUAUUGAUUGGGUAAUGGUUAUUAGCAGCAUGCAUGCAUAAAGUUCAUAUGUUAUAUGUUAUUCUUUUCAGCUUUGUACAGACAUUGUAGUAGAUACAUGAUAUAGUUGGUUACUAUCUCUUCUCUAUUCUUGCCUACAUAUGCCUCAGUAGACCUAGUGGGUGAAUCGGCGAGGUCGGCAGCCAAACCAACUGAAAAUUUUUAGUAGUUCUCACACCACUAACCAUGCAGAUCCUAGUGUGAGUGGAGCGGUCGAGGAUCGUGACAAGAGCCCAGUAUCUUAGCUAGUGGACUCCCGAGUAUAGUUAUGUACCCUUUUUGGUUUCAUGAUGUAUAUAUUUGAUGAAAGGAAUUAUGUAAAAAUGAUGUAUGAAUGAGCAUGUAAAUGUUGUAAAUAACUAAAUGUAAUAGUUAUCCAGCCUUGUAUUUUAUUAAAAACUUCAAGAUACAGUAAAUGCAUGUUUAGUUAGUUUACUUUCACUUGUACUUGUUGCUUGCCCUCGUGCAGGCCAUUUAUAUUGAAAUGUUAUCUUGGGAUUAUUUUUUUCUUUAUACAUGUAAUUGUAAUUGUUGAGCCUUGGGCGGACAGGGGAGGUGCUGUCCGUUCGACGUCUGUGUACGGGCCCGGAUAGACCAAAUUGGCGAUAGCGGAACGUGACAGAUAAAAUGGUAUCGGAGCAAGUGACAAGUGAAAGUUUAGGAUGGACCUAGGGGCUUUAAGAUUGAAAACCUAAGGAACUAGGAACGCGAGUGACGUGAACUAAAUGAUAGCAAAAGCUAAAUGAAUUGGGUUAGUUGUUAGUAUGUCUCUAAUGUUAAUUAGGAGCUGAUCCAAGUGACACAACUUGAGGAGUUAUGUUGGUGGCCAACAACAUAAAGCCUAGGGAUGAGUACAAAUACACUUGAUUGCUUUCGCCUGAUUGGUUUUGUUUAACUAACUUGAAUGUUACGUUUCGGGAGUAAUGGCACCGCGACGUUCGACGAGAUCCACACCGGCAUCCCUCCCUUCCUGAGGUGCCUCAGCAGUCUGGAUCUAAUGAGGUUCGCAAGCUGCGUGCUCAAGUGACCGCGUUAGUAGGGCAUUGCAGAGGCAGGAAAAGCGAAUGGAGAGGAUGCAGGAUUUAGUGUCGCGGCAGGCGACAACGGCUGCACCUGUGAGUCAGGAUUUGCCUACACCUACGACGCCGGCGACAGCGUCCCCUGUUCCGGCGACUACUCCUCCGGUGGUUUCUGGCCCUUCAGUUCCUGAUUUGGUCGCGGUAGAGGCUGAGCAGGAGCGAUUGCUUAUGGUGCUGACAGCGUUUAUGUGGUUCAACCCUCCUAUGUUUGACGGAGAGGUGACAGAUCCUUGGGCAAUGGAGCUGUGGCUUACCUCUAUGGAAGCGUUAUUUGAGGACAUCUAUACUUUGUAGAAAGAUAAAGUUCAUUUAGUUGUGCACUGUUUUGAAAAAUCAGCUCAGGUUUGGUGGAGAAGGGUCAAGAAAAACCGGUCUCCAAAUCUUCCACCAAGUACUUGGGAUAAGUUUCGUGAGUUACUGUUCAUGAAGUAUUUUCCUGGUAAUAAUAAAAGGAAAAUGAAAGAAGAUUUCCGCAAGUUGAGACAGGAAAAUCGUUCAGUACGAGAGUAUGAACGGAAAUUCUCACAUUUGGUGAACUGUGUUCCGGGUAUGAUUCACGGGGAUCGAGAUCGAGCUGAAUGUUUUGAGCGGGGGUUGCGACCUGAGAUAUUUAAAGUGAUACAUGCCUUCAAGUUAAAGACUUUUGAGGAAGUUUUGGAUCGUGCUCUUUGGGUGGAGCGAGGUAAUACGAUUGCGUGUGAUGAACACGAAUCGUUUGAGAGGGAAAAGGAAAAGGAUAAAGGGAAAAAGCGGACCACAAGUGGGUCCGGGGGACAGUCAAGUUCUAAAAGGCCCCCUCGGUAUCCACGAUCACAAUCGAGGUAUCGGGGACCUCCCAGAUGUGUUAUUUGCGGCGGGAAUCAUCGACUGUCGACUUGUUCAUAGCGUGAGGGGACGUGUUAUAGGUGUGGUCAGCUAGGACACAUGAUUCGAGAGUGCCCGAGUGGAGCAUCACCUGCCCCAUCGGCCGUGUCAGUUCAGUCGACCCCGAGACAGCGUGCGGGUCUUCCACCCGCUAUGUAUGCUGGAUGUUCAUCUAUGCCGCGUCAGCCUGAGAGAUUCCGACCGAUGCCGAGUGGUCGUGUUUUUGCUGCUCAGGUAGAGGAGCCUGCCGUUGUCGACGAUGUCGUGGCAGGUAUUGUUUUAAUUAAAGGCACUAAAUCUCGAACAUUAUUUGAUACAUGUGCGUCGAACUCAUUCAUUAGUAGGUCAUUUGCUGAAACUCAUGACGUCGAGAUUUCGGAUAGUACGGAUGCUUGGUGGGUUUAUGCUCCUUAGCACACUUUUAGUGUCAACAAGGAGUGUGCGGCUUGUCCAGUGCAGGUUGGUGAUUGGAUUAUGCUGGCGGAUUUGCUAGUGUUGAGCCGUAUGAAGGGUUUUGAUUUGAUCCUUGGAAUGGAUUGGCUCUCGAAAUACUAUGCCACUAUUGAUUGUGAAAGUAAAGUGAUUACUUUUCGUGAACCAGGGCAAAAGGAAGUUGUGUAUCAUGCGUGUAAAAGUUCACUUUUUGCUAUGGCAGUAUCGAAAGCGAGGAAGUUGAUUAAUAGUGGAUGUGUAGCCUAUUUGGCGACAGUUGUGGAGACUCAAAAGGAACUACCGGCACUUGGGGAUAUUCUAAUAGUUCGAGAGUUUCCAGAUGUAUUUCCUGCGGAGUUACCGGGAUUGCCACCGGACCGGGAGAUUGAGUUCGUUAUUGACUUAGUUCCCAGGACGGCGCCAAUUUCGAAGGCUCCAUACAGAAUUGCACCGGCGGAAUUGAAGGAGUUGAAAGCUCAGUUGCAGGAUCUGCUUGACACGGGCUUUGUGCAGCAUACUGUGUCACCUUGUCAAACAGAUCCUAUAACUGAGCUUUCAACUCCCUCAAUUCUGCCGAUGCCAUUCUGUAUGGAGCCUUCGAAUUUGGCACCAUCCCGGGAAGUAAGUCAAUAACGAACUCAAUCUCCCGGUCCGGUGGCAAUCCCGGUAACUCCGCAGGAAAUAUAUCUGGAAACUCUCGAACUAUUGAAAUAUCCCCAAGUGCCGGUAGUUCCUUUUAAGUCUCCACAACUGUCGCCAAAUAGGCUACACAUCCACUAUUAAUCAACUUCCUCGCUCUCAACGUCGAUACUGUCAUAGCAAAAAGUGGACUUUUACACGCAUGAUACACAACUUCCUUUUGCCCUGGUUCACGAAAAGUAAUUACUUUACUUUCACAAUCAAUAGUGGCAUAGUAUUUUGAGAGCCAAUCCAUUCCAAGGAUCAAAUCAAAACCCUUCAUACGGCUCAACACUAGCAAAUCUGCCAGCAUAAUCCAAUCGCCAACCUGCACUGGACAAGCCGCACACUCCUCGUUGACACUAAAAGUGUGCUCAGGAGCAUAAACCCACCAAGCAUCCGUACUAUCCAUGCCUUUAUUUACAACAUUUACAUGCUCAUUCAUACAUCAUUUUUACAUAAUUUCUUUCAUCAAAUAUAUACAUUAUGAAACCAAAAAGGGUACAUAACUAUACUCGGGAGUCCACUGGCUAAGAUGUAGCACACUGGACCUUUGCAAAUUGCGAGGUUUGAGUGUUCGAUUUGUAUCCCGAACUUUUCCACACUUGGUGGAGGGCCGUCGAUGGUAUACCGGCCUAAAAGUUCGAUCUCGAGAGUUUUGGCAGAGUCCUGAGAGUUUUUACUCUCGGGGACCGGUCCCUGAUAGGAGAGACCGGUCUCCCAGUGAACAGUGCUGCGCAGCCGGCGAGGCAACCGGUCCCUGGCAGUCGAGACCGGUCCCCGAGCGCGUCUGCGCGGGGAGAGGCCGGUCCCGCGCAGGGAGAGACCGGUUCCCGAACGUUGAUUUCUGGGGCAGGCUCUGAGACGGUCCUCAGUGGGGAGACGGUUCCUUCUGGCGGCGAAACUGCCAAACGGUCGGCUGAUGUAAAUUUGAAAGUUUUGAGGGACUAAGUAAGUUUGUUUCUUAUUAAGGCCUUUUGCCAUUUCACCUAUUCUCUCCUUCAUUUCUUCCUUACCACUAUUCUAUAGUAGAGAAAAAAGGAAGAAGAAGAAAGAAAAGAGAAGAGGGGAAUGAGUUGCUUAGGGGCUUUGGAGCAUAUUUUUCCCAAUUUUCUCACGCUUGUGGCUUCGAGUUUACGUUGGACUUUUGUGGAGGAUCAACUUCAACCUACUUGGUUUUGAGCUUGGAUGUAAGUCUUCUUGAGUUGUGAUUAAUCCUACUUUGAUAAUUAUUUUUCUAGGUUUUAUAGAUGAAACCUAGAUUUGGGUUAUAGUUAGAUUUGGGGCUUUUGUUUGAGGCUUUGAAUCUUUUUAUGGUGUUUGACCUUUAUUAGGUUAGAUGGAGACCCUUAUUCAUUUGAGUUAAGAGAGGGUUUUCCUGGAUAGUGGUGUUUUUUCCAACCCUAGUUGGUUGGUUGAAAUGAUUGAGCUUAGGUCCUUAUUUGACUAGAUGACUUGUUUUUACCUUAGCAGGUACUAGGAGUGUUGUGUGGACGCCGUGUCGUGGCAACGAAAGCGGUUCGUGACGACGGUGGUUUGGCUUCGUGUGAAAUGGGGCGAAAUGGCUUAUGCUUUUCUACUUGUUGUAAAUAUUUUUUAGUUCCCUCUCUAUGCUAAUUAAAUUAUAUAUGAAUUUUAGAGAUUAAAAAUGCUAUGUUGUUGAUUGAAAUUUCGUUUAGUAGAGCUAUAGGAGUUAUGCAUGAUACAGGGAAAAAAGUGUUUAUUUUGCAAAGUGAAGAAAAAUCCUUAUGAGGAUUAUGCUUUUGAUAUGUCUUCGAAACUAGUUACAUGCUUUUCAGGAGAGAAAACGAGUUCAUAAAGCACUUGAAAUAAUAUAUUUGAAACUGAAAGUAAGGACAUUUGAUAGGCAGACUAUUGCUAUUAAUUUAUUUAGAGACAUUGGACAUAGUGGAGAUAUCGUUUGAGAUUACUUUUGGGGGGGGGACAGAUCCAUGUAUUAAAAUGAGGGAUUAUGUAUUGCGACAGAUAGUUUGAAUAACUGUCAUGUGUCUUCGCACAUGUUGUGAGGGUCGUUCCCUACAAGCCGGACUCGGAAGAUAGACAUCAGCGGAUUUCUAUUCGCCGUGGGUUGGGCGCGUAGUGGAUUGCGAGUGGGCAGGUUCAUUCUAGGGUGGGGUGCAUGACUACCAGGGCCAUUAGGCCAAGGACGGCCAGACAGUCGGGUGGGUUUAGGGCCAUAGACGCUUCGAGGGGGGUUUUCAAGAUUGACUUGAUUUAAUUAUGACAUGAUGGACGGGAUGAUGACUUAAAGAGUUUACUUGGAUGACUAAAAUAGUCAAACAUACGGACUUUAUUAUUUCGCAUUGUGAAAUUUGAUAGUUGGAGCUUUCAAUCAUGAUAAUUACUUUCAUAUUAUAGUUAUUUAAUGCUAAGUAAAGAUAGUAUUGAUAGUAAGUUACAUUUACUUACAUUUCGUUUUUAAUUUUUAGUCAUGAAUUUUUUGGUGCUUAGCCCGGGGCCCAUGCUGGUGAUUCACUGAAUCAGUAAUUGCCCAUGGGAACUUUUUUAUAAGAUUUCACCCCUAUUUUAUGGUUUGCUUUUCAGAGCUUCCCGCCCAACACGGCACGCGGAUGCUGGAUCCGGCAAGGGAUCGCUUAGUAGUCUACGAGGAGCGGUACUUUGCUAGAUGGUUUACUUUUCUUUUUGUAGUUGAGAGAGUGAAGGUUUUGUAACAUGUAUUAGAGACACUAUGUAUUACCUAUAGCACUUGUUUGGGAUUUCUCUGUAUCAUUUAUGUCUUAUUUAAGUGAAUUUACAGUUUGUAUCCUUUCUUUGUGAUAGAAUUUAGACUAUUUAUUUAUGCUUGUACUCAGAUGCUUUUAUUAUUGCUUUUAUUAUUGUUGUUUUUAGACGCCUUAUAUGUUUUAGACGUAUGGCGGGUCUGGGCACGUGCCGGGCGGGCUUCCGCAGGGUCCCGGGGCGUGACAGAGAUGCUAGGCUCUUGCCGCGAUCCUCGACCGCUCCACUCGCAUUAAGAUCUGCAUGGUUAGUGGUGUGAGAACUACUAAAAAUUUUCAGUGGGUUCGGCUGCCGACCUCGCCGAUUCACCCACUAGGUCUACUGAGGCAUAUGUAGGCAAGAAUAGAGAAGAGAUAGUAACCAACUAUAUCAUGUAUCUACUACAAUGUCUGUACAAAGCUGAAAAGAAUAACAUAUAACAUAUGAACUUUAUGCAUGCAUGCUGCUAAUAACCAUUACCCAAUCAAUAUGGUUAACCAUUUGGUUAACUAUAACUCACCAACUCAAUCCUUACUAUCGGGGAGACUCCUGCAACAACCCGACGGGACCGUCUACUGGCUAGCAUAUACCCGCUUCCAACCCAGUUGAUGACUACUCCGGAGCUCAUCACCCAAGGAGGAGCGACCGUCCUCGAGCAUUAGACUAAUGUGAGUCUUUAUACUAGGUUUAACAAUUCUAAUCUCGAUGCUAACCGUUCUUCUAGUCACAAUGCCACCAAGUUUAUUAUUGUCAUAAUCCAUUAUAAGUUCAUACAUUCAUAGAGUUUCUAUGUCCAUAUUCUAUUGUCCACAUGUUCUUUACAUUGGUAUACAUUCAAUUGCUCAUUUCAUAACUAUACUAUAACAUUACCCUAUAAUGCAUGAAUACUAUAUUAUUCAUAUACAAAUAUGCUCAACAAGGCGACAUAGAUAUAACGAGGGAUUCGAAGAUUUCGGAUAGCACCAUCCACCUUGUAGGGAUGCCAAAAUGCUAGAACCAAAGUUUCGAAAUUUCUACACGCCUAUUCCUCUCGACCCACCGCAAACGAAAGCAAAACGAGGUUUUCCUUAAUUAGCACGCCAUAGGUCCGUCGGAAUAUCGAUUCAAGCUUCCGAACACGUCGAACUUUCCUUCAUUGAGGAAUACAAGAGAUCAAACUCAUGUUGUAUUCAUAUUUCUACAACAUUCAUAUAUAACCCAUACAACCACUACUACCCAAGCCAUACUAAUUAAUUAGGUGCCACAUGCUGAUGGAAGCAUCACAUAAUUAGGUACCAUAUCCUAAUAGAAAUAAUUUGCUAAGUCAAUAUGUUCUGUUAACAAGUUAAAUUAACGUCUAUAUUUAAUACACAUGCCCAAUUAAAUAUUUCAACUUAAAUUUAAUUAGCUAGUAGGCCAUAUACUGGUGGGAGCACCUCUCAAAAUACAUGCAAUGUACAUGCCCACUUGCCGUAAUUAAUUAUCUCCUUCAUGCAGAUAUACAUAGAAUAUGCAUAAUGGUAGACAUAGCCUAUAGUAGUAGGGGGCUAAUUAAUUAGUAUGCUUCCUAUUCACAUACGUGGACUGUGGAAUCAACAACAUCUCAUGGCUGUUUCAUACACCUUACCUUAGGUUGCCUCUCCACCUGCCAAUUCCCUGCUCAAACCUCCUCUUCUCAGCUCAAAACAGCCACUCCACACCUUUUCCACCAACUUUCCCUUUACCAAAACCCAACACCAUAGGUUAGAGAGAGAGAGAGAGGGAGAAAGAAAAGAGAAGAGAAG
This 52215-nucleotide long non-coding RNA is filed under the name Ananas comosus (pineapple). RNAcentral's name for it is "long non-coding RNA (ACOM_LNC022433)". The record is from RNAcentral. Lineage: Eukaryota; Viridiplantae; Streptophyta; Magnoliopsida; Poales; Bromeliaceae.